Molecule: long non-coding RNA, 68221 nt
Filed under: Zea mays
Lineage: Eukaryota; Viridiplantae; Streptophyta; Magnoliopsida; Poales; Poaceae
Description: long non-coding RNA (ZMAY_LNC004490)
Source: RNAcentral
CAGUGACACCUACAUCAGUAAAUAGACAGUUGUAGCCCAUUUGACAAAGUUGCGAAACGGAAAGCAAAUUGUAAUCUAAAGAAUCUACAAGAAAAACAUUGGAAAUAGUAUGGUCAGGUGAUAUAGCAAUUUUACCCAAUCCUUUGACCAAACCUUGAUUUCCAUCCCCGAAUGUGAUAGCUCGUUGGGGAUCUUGGUUUUUCUCAUAUGAGGAGAACAUCUUCUUCUCCCCUGUCAUGUGGUUUGUGCACCCGCUGUCGAGUAUCCAACUUGAGCCCCCGGAUGCAUAAACCUACAAAACAAUUUUAGUUCUUGAUUUUAGGUACCCAAACGGUCUUGGGUCCUUUGGCAUUAGAAACAAGAACUUUGGGUACCUAAACACAAGUCUUGGAGCCCUUGUGUUUGCCCCCAACAAACUUGGCAACUACCUUGCCGGAUUUGUUAGUCAAAACAUAAGAUGCAUCAAAAGUCUUAAAUGAAAUGCUAUGAUCAUUUGAUGCAUUAGGAGUUUUCUUCUUAGGCAACUUGGCACGGGUUGGUUGCCUAGAGCUAGAUGCCUCACCCUUAUACAUAAAAGCAUGAUUAGAGCUAGAGUGGGACUUCCUAGAAUGAAUUUUCUUAAUUUUGCUCUCGGGAUAACCGGCAGGGUACAAAAUGUACCCCUCGUUAUCCUGAGGCAUUGGAGCCUUGCCCUUAACAAAGUUAGACAAGUUUUUAGGAGGGGCAUUAAGUUUGACAUUGUCUCCCCUUUGGAAGCCAAUGCCAUCCUUGAUGCUAGGGCGUCUCCCAUUAUAGAGCAUACUUCUAGCAAAUUUAAACUUUUCAUUUUCUAAGUUAUGCUCGGCAAUUUUAGCAUCUAAUAUUGCUAUAUGAUCAUUUUGUUGUUUAAUUAAAGCCAUGUGAUCAUGAAUAGCAUUGAUAUCAACAUCUCUACAUCUAGUACAAAUAGAAGUGUGCUCAACGGUAGAUGUACAGGGUUUGCAAGAUUUUAGUUCUACAACCUUAGCAUGCAACAUAUCAUUCUUAGUUCUAAGGUCGGAAAUAGUAGUAUUGCAAACAUCUAAUUCUUUAGCCUUAGCAAACAAUUUCUCAUUCUUAUCUCUAAGGCUAGCAAGAGAAGCAUUCAACUCAUCAAUCCUAGCAAGCAAAUCAAAAUUAUCAUUUCUAGGAUAGGACGUUGAAUCAAUACAAACAUGAGAAUCAACCUUAGCAAUUAAUUUAGCAUUUUCACUUCUAAGGUUGGCAAUAGUGUCAUGGCAUGUGCUUAGCUCACUAGAUAAUUUGUCACAUUUUUCUACCUCUAGAGCAUAAGCAUUUUUAACCUUAACAUGCUUUUUGUUUUCCUUAAUAAGGAAGUCCUCUUGAGAGUCCAAGAGAUCAUCCUUCUCAUGAAUAGCACUAAUCAAUUCAUUUAAUUUUUCCUUUUGUUGCAUGUUAAGAUCGGCAAAAAGGGUACGCAAAUUAUCCUCCUCAUCACUAGCAUUAUCAUCACUAGAGGAUUCAUAUUUAGUGGGGGAUUUAGAUUUAACCUUCUUCCUUUUGCCGUCCUUUGCCAUGAGGCACUUGUGGCCGACGUUGGGGAAGAGGAGUCCCUUGGUGACGGCGAUGUUGGCGGCGUCCUCGUCGGAAGAGGACUCGGUGGAGCUCUCGUCGGAGUCCCACUCCCGGCAAACAUGGGCAUCGCCGCCCUUCUUCUUGUAGUACUUCUUCUUUUCUCUCCUCUUUCCCUUCUUGUCGUCGCCCCUGUCACUGUCACUAGAUAUAGGACAUUUUGCAAUGAAAUGACCGGGCUUACCACAUUUGUAGCACACUUUCUUGGAGCGGGGUUUGUAGUCCUUCCCCCUUUGUUGCUUGAGGAUUUGGCGAAAGCUUUUGAUGAUUAAAGCCAUCUCCUCAUUGUCGAGCUUGGAGGCGUCAAUUGGUUGUCUACUUGGUGUAGACUCCUCCUUCUUCUCCUCCGUCGCCUUAAAUGCCACCGGUUGCGCCUCGGACGUGGAGGGUUCGUCAAGCUCGUUGAUCUUCUUUGAGCCUUUAAUCAUGCAUUCAAAGCUCACAAAAUUCCCGAUAACUUCCUCGGGAGUCAUUAGCGUGUAUCUAGGAUUACCACGAAUUAAUUGAACUUGAGUAGGGUUAAGGAAAAUAAGUGAUCUCAAUAUAACCUUAACCACCUUGUGGUCAUCCCAUUUCUUGCUCCCGAGGUUGCACACUUGGUUCACCAAGGUUUUGAGCCGGUUGUACAUAUCUUGUGGCUCCUCCCCUUGGCGAAGACGAAAGCGACCGAGCUCCCCCUCGAUCGUUUCCCGCUUUGUGAUCUUGGUGAGUUCAUCACCCUCGUGCGCGGUCUUGAGUAGGUCCCAAAUCUCCUUUGCAUUCUUCAACCCUUGUACCUUGUUGUAUUCCUCCUUGCUUAGAGAGGCGAGGAGUAUGGUUGUAGCUUGAGAGUUGAAGUGCUCGAUUUGGGCCACUUCGUCCGUAUCAUAAUCUUCAUCCCCUAUGGAUGAUACCUGUGCUCCAAACUCAACAACAUUCCAUAUACUUUUGUGGAGUGAGGUUAGAUGAAAUUUCAUUAAAUCACUCCACCUAGCAUAAUCUUCGCCAUCAAAGGUUGGCGGUUUGCCUAAUGGAACGGAAAGUAAUGGAGUAGGUCUAGAUGUACGAGGAUAGUGUAAGGGGAUCUUACUAAACUUCUUGCGCUCUUGGCGCUUAGAAGUUACGGACGGCACAUCGGAGUCGGAGGUCGAUGUUGAUGAAGUGUCGGUCUCGUAGUAGACCACUUUCCUCAUCCUCUUGUGCUUGUCGCCUUUCCGAUGCGACUUGUGUGAAGAAGAUUUUUCCUUCUUCUCUUUGUGGUGAGAAGAAGAGGAUCUUUUCUCCUUCCGUUUGGAGGAGUCCUUCUUCUUCUCCUUCCUCUUGGUGCGGGACUCUUCAGAUGAAGUGCUCCCUUGGCUCGUAGUGGGCUUGUCGCCGGUCUCCAUCUCCCUCUUGGUGUGAUCUCCCGACAUCACUUCGAGCGGUUAGGCUCUAAUGAAGCACCGGGCUCUGAUACCAAUUGAAAGUCGCCUAGAGGGGGGGGGGUGAAUAGGGCGAAACUGAAAUUCUCAAAAAUAAUCACAACUAUAAGCCGGGUUAGCGUUAGAAAUAUAAUAGAGUCCGUGAGAGAGGGUGCAAAACAAAUCGCAAACGAAUAAUGAAGUGAGACACGCGGAUUUGUUUUACCGAGGUUCGGUUCUCUCAAACCUACUCCCCGUUGAGGAGGCCACAAAGGCCGGGUCUCUUUCAAGCCUUACCCUCUCUCAAACGGUCCCUCGGACCGAGUGAGCUUUCUCUUCUCAAUCACUUGGAACACAAAGUUCCCACAAGGACCACCACAAGUUUGGUGUCUCUUGCCUCAAUUACAAGUGAGUUUUGAUCGCAAGAAAGAAUCAAGAAGGAAGAAGGCAAUCCAAGCGCAAGAGCUCGAAAGAACACAAGCAAAUCUCUCUCUCUAAUCACUAGGGCGUUGUGUGGAAUUUGGAGAGGAUUUGAUCUCUUUGGAGUGUCUAGAAUUGAAUGCUAGAGCUCUUGUAAGUAGUUGAGAAGUGGAAAACUUGGAUGUAAUGAAUGGUGGGUGGUUGGGGGUAUUUAUAGCCCCAACCACCAAACUAGCCAUUUGGUGAGGCUGUCUGUUCGAUGGCGCACCGGACAGUCCGGUGCACACCGGACAUGUCCGUUGCGAUAGCCACGUCACCAAAACCGUUGGGUUCCGACCGUUGGAGCUCUGUCUUCUGGGCCCGCCUAGAUGUCCGGUGGCGCACCGGACAUGUACUGUUGAGUGUCUGGUGCUCCAGCAUGGGCGUGCCUGACCUCUGCGCGCGCAUUUAAUGCGUCGCAGGUAGCCGUUGGCGCCGAGAUAGCCGUUGCCCCGCUGUUACACCGGACAGUCCGGUGUACACCGGACAGUCCGGUGAAUUUUAGCAGAGCGGCUGAAGUGAAAUCCCGAGGCUGGCGAGUUCCUGAGGCCGCUCUUCCUUGGAGCACCGGACAUGUCCGGUGUACACCGGACAGUCCGGUGAAUUAUAGCGGAGUCGCCUCUGGAAUUUCCCGAAGGUGACGAGUUUGAAGUUCGAGUCCUCUGGUGCACCGGACAUGUCCGGUGGCACACCGGACAGUCCGGUGCGCCAGACUAGAGAUGCCUUCGGUUGUCCCUUUGCUCUUUUGUUGAACCCAAUACUUGGUCUCUUUAUUGGCUAAGUGUGAACCUUUGGCACCUGUAUAACUUAUAUACCAGAGCAAACUAGUUAGUCCAAAUAUUUGUGUUGGGCAAUUCAACCACCAAAAUUAUUUAGGAACUAGGUGUAAGCCUAAUUCCCUUUCACAAACCUUCUUGGAACGGGAUUUGUAGUCUUUCCCCUUCCGUUGCUUGAGGAUUUGGCGAAAGCUUUUGAUGAUUAAAGCCAUCUCCUCGUUGUCGAGCUUUGAAGCAUCGAUUGGUUGUCUACUUGGUGUAGACUCCUCCUUCUUCUCCUCUGUCGCCUUGAAUGCCACUGGUUGUGCUUCGGAUGUGGAGGGAUCAUCAAGCUCGUUGAUCUUCUUUGAGCCCUUGAUCAUACACUCAAAGCUCACAAAAUUCUCGAUAACUUCCUCGGGGGUCAUUAGUGUAUAUCUUGGGUUGCCACGAAUUAAUUGAACUUGAGUAGGGUUAAGGAAAAUAAGAGAUCUUAGAAUAACCUUAACCACCUCGUGGUCAUCCCACUUUUUGCUCCCGAGGUUGCGCACGUGGUUCACCAAGGUUUUGAGCCGGUUGUACAUGUCUUGUGGCUCCUCCCCUUGGCGAAGACGGAAGCGACCGAGCUCCCCCUCGAUCGUUUCCCUCUUGGUGAUCUUGGUGAGUUCAUCACCCUCGUGCGCGGUCUUGAGUAAGUCCCAAAUCUCCUUCGCACUCUUCAACCCUUGCACCUUGUUAUAUUCCUCUCUACUUAGAGAGGCAAGGAGUAUGGUUGUGGCUUGGGAGUUGAAGUGCUCGAUUUGGGCCACCUCAUCCUCAUCAUAGUCUUCAUCCCCUACGGAUGGUACCUGUGCACCAAACUCAACAACAUCCCAUAUACUUUUGUGGAGUGAGGUUAGAUGAAAUCGCAUUAAAUCACUCCACCUAGCAUAAUCUUCACCAUCAAAUAUUGGUGGUUUGCCUAAUGGGACAGAAAGCAAAGGUGUAUGUUUAGAAAUGCGAGGGUAGCGUAGGGGAAUCUUACUAUACUUCUUGCGCUCUUGGCGCUUAGAAGUGACGGACGCCGCGUCGGAGACGGAGGUGGAUGCCGAUGAAGAAUCGGUCUCGUAGUAGACCAUUUCCUCAUCCUCUUUUUCUUGUCCCCACUCCGAUGCGGCUUGUGGGAAGAGGAUUUUUCCUUCUUCUCUUUGUGGUGUGAAGAAGAUUUCUUCUCCUUCCCUUUGGAGGAGUCCUUCUUCUUCUCCUUCCUCUUGGUGCGGGACUCUUCCGAUGAAGUGCUCCUGUGGCUUGUAGUGGGCUUUUCGCCGGUCUCCAUCUCCUUCUUGGCGUGAUCUCCCGACAUCACUUCGAGCGGUUAGGCUCUAAUGAAGCACCGGGCUCCGAUACCAAUUGAUAGUCGCCUAGAGGGGGGGUGAAUAGGGCGAAACUGAAAUUUACAAAUAUAAACACAACUACAAGCCGGGUUAGCGUUAGAAAUAAUAACGAGUCCGCGAGAGAGGGUGCAAAACAAAUCUCAAGCAAAUAAGGGGUGUGACACAAGGAUUUGUUUUACCGAGGUUCGAUUCUUGCAAACCUACUCCCCGUUGAGGUGGUCACAAAGACCGGGUCUCUUUCAACCCUUUCCCUCUCUCAAACGGUCCUUCCGACCGAGUGAGCUUCUCUUCUCAAAUCAAAGCCGGGAACAAAACUUCCCCGCAAGGGCCACCACACAAUUGGUGCCUCUUGCCUUGAUUACAAUGAAGUUUUGAUCACAAGAACAAGUGAGAAAGAAAAGAAGCAAUCCAAGCGCAAGAGCUCAAAAGAACACGGCAAAUCUCUCUCGCUAAUCACUAAAGCCUUGUGUGGAAUUGGAGAGGAUUUGAUCUCUUUGGUGUGUCUAGAAUUGAAUGCCUAGCUCUUGUAAGUGGUUGGGAAGUGGAAAACUUGGAUACCAUGAAUGGUGGGUGGUUGGGGUAUUUAUAGCCCCAACCACCAAACUAGCCGUUUGGUGGGGCUGACUGUCGUAUGGUGCACCGGACAGUCCGGUGUACACCGGACAUGUCCGGUGCGCCAGCCACGUCACCAAAGCCGUUGGGUUCCGACCGUUGGAGCUCUGUCUUCUGGGCCCGCCUGGAUGUCCGGUGGCGCAUCGGACAUGCACUGUAGAUUGUCCGGUGCGCCAGAAUGGGCGUGUCAGACCUCUGCGCGCGCAGCGCGCGCAUUUAAUGCGUCGCAGGUAGCCGUUGGCGCCGAAAUAGCCGUUGGCCCGCUGUUACACCGGACAGUCACCGGACUGUCCGGUGUACACCGGACAGUCCUGUGAAUUAUAGCGAAGCAGCCAAACUGAAAUCCCGAGGCUGGCGAGUUCCUGAGGCCGCUCUCCCUUGGAGCACCGGACAUGUCCGGUGUACACCGGACAGUCCGGUGAAUUAUAGCGAUGUUGCCUCUGGAAAUUCCCGAAGGUGAUGAGUUUGAAGCUGGUGUCCUCUGGUGCACCGGACAUGUCCGGUGGCACACCGGACAGUCCGAUGCGCCAGACCAGAGGUGCCUUCGGUUGUCCCUUUGCUCUUUUGUUGAACCCAAUACUCGGUCUUUUUAUUGGCUAAGUGUGAACCUUUGGCACCUGUAUAACUUAUACACUAGAGCAAACUAGUUAGUCCAAUUAUUUGUGUUGGGCAAUUCAACCACCAAAAUUAAUUAGGGACUAGGUGUAAGCCUAAUUCCCUUUCAAUAGUAAUAUAGCAGUACAUGCCAAAGGGUGUGAUGAAAGAAGUCGCGAGCUGGUCGGACUCUUUCAUCCUGAUUUGGUGAUACCCUGAGUAGGCAUCAAGGAAUGACAGGGUUUCACACCCAGCAGUGGAAUCCACGAUUUGAUCGAUGCGAGGCAGAGGGUAGGGAACCUUCGGACAUGCUUUGUUCAGACUAGUGUAGUCUACACACAUCCGCCAUUUCCCACCUUUCUUUUUCACAAGCACAGGGUUGGCUAGCCAUUCGGGAUGGAAUACCUCUUUGAUGAACCCUGCAGUCACCAGCUUGUGGAUCUCCUCGCCUAUGGCUCUGCGCUUUUCUUCGUCGAAUCGGCGUAGAGGCUGCUUCACGGGUCGGGCUCUAGCUCGGAUAUCCAACGAGUGCUCGGCGACAUCCCUCGGUAUGCCAGGCAUGUCCGAGGGACUCCACGCAAAAACCUCGGCGUUUGCGCGGAGAAAGUCGACGAACUGCUUCCUAUUUGGGGUCGAGCUCGGAGCCGAUUCGUACUUGCUUGGAGGCAUCGUUGCUGGGGUCGAGAGGGACGGACUUAACCGCCUCUGCUGGCUCGAAGUUGCCGGCAUGGCGCUUCGCAUCUGGCACCUCCUUGGAGAGGCUCUCCAGGUCGGCGAUGAGGGCCUCGGACUCGGCGAGGGCCUCAGCAUACUCCACGCACUCCACGUCGCAUUCGUACGCGUGUCGGUAUGUGGAGCCGAUGGUGAUGACCCCGUUGGGGCCCGACAUCUUGAGCUUGAGGUAGGUGUAGUUGGGGACGGCCAUGAACUUGGCGUAGCAUGGUCUCCCCAGCACUGCAUGGUAGGUUCCUCGAAACCCGACCACCUCGAACGUGAGGGUUUCCUUUCGGAAGUUGGAGGGAGUCCCGAAGCAGAUGGGCAGAUCGAGUUGCCCAAAAGGUUGGACGCGCUUCCCAGGGAUGAUUCCGUGAAAGGGCGCCGCACCGGCCCGGAUCGUGGACAAAUCGAUCUGCAAGAGCCCGAGGGUCUCGACGUAGAUGAUGUUGAGGCUGCUGCCUCCGUCCAUGAGGACCUUGGUAAGCCUGACGUUGCUGAUGACGGGAUCGAGAACGAGCGGGUACUUCCCCGGGCUCGGCACGUGGUCGGGGUGGUCGCCUUGGUCGAAGGUGAUGGGCUUGUCGGACCAGUCUAGGUAGACUGGCGCCGCCACCUUCACCGAGGAGACCUCCCGGCGCUCCUUCUUGCGGUGCCGAGCCGAGGCGUUCGCCACCCGCCCACCGUAGAUCAUGAAGCAGUCAUGGACCUCGGGGAACUCCUCUGCCUUGUGGUCUUCCUUCUUGUCGUUGUCGUGGGCUUUGCCACCUCCCGCCGGUGGCCCGACCUUGUGGAAGUAGCGCCGAAGCAUGACGCACUCCUCAAGGGUGUGCUUGACGGGACCCUGAUGAUAGGGGCACGACUCCUUGAGCAUUUUGUGGAACAGGUUCCGGGGGUUCCUGUGUUCGGCAGCGGCGACAAGAUCUGCGUCGGUGGUGUCGCGUUUCGUUUGCGACUUCUUCUUGCCCUUCUUCUUCGUGCUGCGCUGAGCGGACGCCUCGGGGAUGUCUUCCUGCUGGCGUCCCUGAGGCUGCUUGUCCUUCCAGAAGAUGGCCUCGACCGCCUCCUGGCCAGAGGCGAACUUGGUGGCGAUGUCCAUCAGCUCGCUCGCCCUGGUGGGAGUCUUGCGACCCAGCUUGCUCACCAGGUAAGGGCAAGUGGUGCCGGCGAGGAACGCGCCGAUGACAUCUGAGUCGGUGAUGUUGGGCAGCUCGGUGCGCUGCUUCAAAAAUCACCGGAUGUAGUCCCGCAGGGAUUCUCCCGGCUGUUGGCGGCAGCUUUGGAGAUCCCAGGAGUUCCCAGGGCGCACGUAUGUGCCCUGGAAGUUUCCGGCGAAGGCUUUGACCAGGUUGUCCCAGUUGGAGAUCUGCGUAGGAGGCAGAUGCUCCAGCCAGGCUCGGGCGGCGUCGGAGAGGAACAGGGGGAGGUUGCAGAUGAUGAGGUUGUCAUCGUCCAUUCCACCCAGCUGGUAGGCCAGCCGGUAGUCCGCGAGCCACAGUUCCGGCCUUGUUUCCCCCGAGUACUUGGUGAUGGUAGUCGGGGUCCGGAACUGGGUCGGGAACGACACCCGUUGUAUGGCCCGGCUGAAAGCUUGCGGACCGGGUGGUUUGGGCGAGGGGCUCCGAUCCUCCCCGAUGUCGUAGCGUCCCCCACGCCUGGGGUGGUAGCCUCGAUGCACCUUUUCGUCGAGGCGGGCUCGACGGUCGCGGCGAUGGUGCUCGUUGCCAAGGCGGCCCGGGGCCGCAGGCGCUGUGUCCCGCGUGCGCCCGGUGUAGACCGAGGCUUCCCGCAUGAAUCAGGAGGUCGCGGUGCGAUGCUCCGGGGGGUAUCCCUGCCUUCGGGAGGCAGAGCUUUCGGCCCGUCGGACCGCGGCAUCCUCCAGGAGAUUCUUGAGUUCUCCCUGGAUACGUCGUCCCUCGGUGGUGGAUGGUUCCGGCAUCGCUCGGAGUAGUAUUGCUAUUGCAGCCAGGUUCUGGCCGACCCCACUGGAAGCCAGGGGCAGCCGUGCCCUGGCAUCGUCAGCGAUGCGGUGUUGGACGUCCUAGGGCAGAUGACGCGCUUCUCUGGCUGGUGCUCGGCCUGCCCACUCCUGCCCGAUGUUUUGCCGGAGCUGCACAAGUUGCCCUGCUUCCUCGUCGAGCCUGGACUGCAUCUCGUGGAUUUGCUCGAGCUGUGCGUCCUGACCCCCCGCAGGGACUGGGACCACAGCUAGCUCCCGAAGGAUGUCAACGCGAGGCGCAGGCCUAGGGGGGUCGCCGUCCUCCGGCAUACCAAGGUGGUUGCCUUCGUCGAGACCCCCUAGAUCGACGUGGAAACAUUCACAACUUGGGCCACAGUCCUCGUUGCCGAGGCUGUGGCUAUCAUCAGAGCAAUCGGAGAGGUAGUAGUCACAUGUGGUCAUGAAGUCCCGCAUGGCACUGGGGUUCCCGAGACCGGAGAAAUCCCAACCAUAGUCGGGCUCAUCAUCUUCCUCGGAACCCGGGGGCCCGUAGGUCGAGACGGCCGUCAAUCGGUCCCAGGUUGACCACAUAUGAUACCCCAGAAGGUUCGGAUAUGCCUUUACGAAAGCGUCCACCGAAGCGGGGUCGCUUGGUGGGUCGAAGCUGAAUCUAAAAGGCAAAGGGUGGAAAACGGACGGUACAUCUUGAUAGACGGAUGGUGACGGAGUCGCGUCAGGGACGGACUACACCGUCAUCUCAGGUACGAGGCUAACGCCCAGCAGGUCCUUCGCGAGCGUGCUGGCGUCAUUCGUCCGCUUGGGGUUGGCGUGUCACGGGGAAACGACGCCCGUCUUCGUCUCAGACGCGAGGUCGACGCCUGACGUGUCCGCCGCUGGGGCGCCCAUCGACUCGCUCGACAACAGACGAGGUGCCGCCUCCUACUUGGCCAUGGUUGCCCCGCCUCCUCCUCCGUCGGCAGGGAAGGUGACGGGAUAGACUCGGAUGAUGUUCUUCUGCCAUGCGGGGAAGACGUCGUCGAUUCCGCCGCCGGUGGGCGGGCUGACGGCCGCCAUUGUCGUUGUCGCGCGGCGGAGGAAGGAGUACCAUGUCGUAGCUGCUGUCGAGGGACAUGAACUCGAGACUCCCAAAACGGAGCAGCGUCCCGGGCUAGAGAGGUUGCUGGAGACUACCCAUCUGGAGCUUGACGGGAAGCUGUUCGUCAACACGCAGUAGGCCCCUACCUGGCGCGCCAACUGUCGGCGUUUCGACCCCGGGGGGUCCCUGGACCGACAAGUAAAUUGUCGCUGUGUGUCCCAGCCCAGAUGGGUCGGCGCGAGACGGAACACAAGGGGGAAAACGAUAAGGGGAACCGCGGCUCAUGUUGUCCUGCGCCCAGGGCGGAUGCGCUUGUAGUAGGAGGUUACAAGCGUUUGCGAGGGAGAGAGAGAGAGAGCCUGCUCGUCAGCCCGUCCUCCCGCGUGGCCACCUUUUUCUGUACGAGGGCCUUGGACCUUCCUUUUAUAGACGUAAGGAGAGGGCCCAGGUGUACAAUGGGAGGUGUAGCUGUGUGCUAAUGUGUCCGGCAGAGAGGAGCCAGAGUCCUAUGUACAUGCCGAUGUGGCUGUCGGAGAGGUGUUGGUGCCCUGUUCAUGUGAUGUCGUGGCCGUCGGAGGAGCGCUUAAACCCUAUAGAAGCACAGCUGUCGGGGCUAUCGGGACCUUGCUGACGUCUCCUUGCUUCCGUAGGGGGCUUGAGAACCGCCGUCAUCACGGAGCACGCGGGGUGCCAUCAUUACUUGUUUUACCGGGGCGAGCCAGAUGGGACGCCGGUCUUGUUCCCCGUAGCCUGAGCUAGCUAGGGGUAGGGUAAUGAUGUACCCCCCUGUGACGUGGUUGGCCCGAGCCCAAGGUCGGGCGAGGAGGAGGCUCCUCCGAGGUCGAGGCUGAGUCCGAGCCUUGGGGUCGGGCGAGGCGGAGACCGUCGUCCGAGGUCGAGGUUGAGUCCGAGCCCUGGGGUCGGGCGAGGCGGAGACCAUCGUCCGAGGUCGAGGUUGAGUCCGAGCCCUGGGGUCGGGCGAGGCGGAGACCGUCGUCUGGGGUCGAGGUUGAGUCCGAGCCCUAGGGUCGGGCGAGGCGGAGACCGUCGUCCGAGGUCGAGGUUGAGUCCGAGCCUUGGGGUCGGGCGAGGCAGAGACCGUCGUCCGAGGUCGAGGUUGAGUUCGAGCCCUGGGGUCGGGCGAGGCAGAGACCGUCGUCUGGGGUCGAGGCUGAGUCCGAGCCCUGGGGUCGGGCGAGGCGGAGCUUCCUAUGGCGCCCAAGGCUGGACUUGGCCGCUGUCAGCCUCACCCUGGCAGGUGGCACAGCAGUCGGAGUAGCGCAGGCGGCGCUGUUUUCCUGUCAGGUCAGUCAGUGGAGGGGCUAAGUGACUGCGGUCACUUCAGCCUUGUCGACUGAGGAGCACGCGUCAGGAUAAGGUGUCAGGCGAUCCUUGCAUUGAAUGCUCCUGUGAUGUGGUCGGUUGGCGUGGCGAUCUGGCCAAGGUUGCUUCACUGCGAAGCCUGCCCGAGCUGGGCCUCGGGCGAGUCGAAGGUGCGCCCGUUACUUGAGGAUGCCCUCGGGCGAGUCGUAAAUCUGCCUUGGUCUACUGUUCCUGCCCGAGGCUGGGCUCGGGCGAGGCGAGAUCGUGUCCCUUGAGUGGACGGAGCCUUUGACCUGAAUUGCGCCCAUCAGGCCUUUGCAGCUUUGUACUGAUGGUGGUUACCAGUCGAGUUUAGGAGUCUUGGGGGUACCCCUAAUUAUGGUCCCUGACAACCCUCUAACCAAGCACACCCUAAGACUAAGGCACAUCGGAUUGGCAUGAUCAUAUCACUUUUUUCUGUCUUGUCGGUCCGUAUGAUGUGGUUAUGUCGCACUCGGAUUUAAGGACAAAAAUACUGAUGUGUCUCAAAUGUGUGUUAGGAUCAAGUCCCACACAUAUGAUGACUCAUGAUAUAGAAAUCAAUGUCACAUCUUUCUUAUAUAAUAAAGGUUCUGCAUAAAAUAGCUAAACAAAUACAUCAUAUGGCGACAACGAUCCUCCACCAUCAUAGUGGACUAGGAGACGACAGCCUAGACCUCUCCGAACUCAUCGUAGCUUCCUUAAUGCUCCUCAUCUUGUGGUACCAGUUCUUGAUGUGGUAUGAUUAUAGCAAGGGUGAGCUCACAUACGUUCAUCGCUCAGCAAGUGUGGGAAAGUGUGAUUGAGCUCACUUAUGGUGGGGCUUAAGUUAAGGCCUACCAAGUGAAAUGGUUAAGGUCAAGUAUCAUUUUUAAAUAGUUGGUCAUAAUUUUAUUAGCAGUUACUAGGUAUAAGUAAAUAUCAUCCUAAUUAAAUAAUUGAUCAUAAUGAAUAAUAAAUACCACAAUGCAAUGCAUGACAGAUUAAAUUUAGUUUCAUAAUUUAAUUAUGCGAGAGUCUUGAGUCGCUCUUGAUCGUGAGCACAACUGAUAUACCAGUUUUACAGUCUCUAGAGUUUGUGUCCUUUACCCACAAGUCGUGUAUCCCGUUUAACCAGGUUUACAAUGCCCUUAGACACUUUUGAGGCGAAUGGCUAGAAAUCCACUACGAGGCCUUUAGAAAGUUCUACUAGUUUGAGAAAACCUGCUAUGGUUUCUACGAGAAGGGGGCGAUAUAGGAAUCCCUCGUCCGAAAAGUCAUCAUAACAUGAUCGAUCCGAGAACCUGCCUAUACUGACAGCUCCUCACACCACCCUUGCUCCUUUUAGGUAAGAUAGUCCCUCACUAGCUUUCCUAAUUAGUCAGCAAAGGACAUCCCAUUCCACCCUUGUGUUAGAACUGUUUUCUCAGGUUAAGCUCCAUGUUCCAAUUAACAAAAUAAUCUUAUCAUGAACAAUAAAGAAUCAUUGACAACAAUAAUAGAUCAUGAUCAUAAUUCAAUUAUAGCAUUAAUCAUAAAACCAGGUAGAGCAAUAACAAGACUACCCAAUAAUUUAUGCAAGGUGUAGGGUAAACAAAAUUAGGUAACCUAUUACUGAAAGUUCCCUAUGCCCGGGAACAGGAUCUGGAUGUCGCCUAGAGGGGAGGGGGUGAAUAGGAGAAUAAUAAUUAUCACUUUAAAACUGGAAAUUCUUACUCUAAUCGAAGGCUGGAUCGCAGUGGAAUGAAAGACCCUUCGAAUAGGUUGCAGUGGAAUUGAAGUCCUGUCUUAAAGUACCCUGCACUUUGAAGACAGCUUGUACCACAUAUAAGUAUUGAAGUGCAAGUAUAAAUAGCAAAUAAGACAGAGAAACAACACACAACACAGAGCAGAGCACGCAGACACAGAGAUUUAUCCUGAGGUUCGGCCAAGCCUGAAAUGCUUGCCUAGUCCUCGUUGGAGUUAGCCACACCUUGGCUUGGAGUCUAUUUCAACUCCUUCCUCCGUUUGCUUAGAUCUGUCAGUGCAACAGAUAGAGCCUUCCACUAUGUUGAUAUCAGUUACAACGAUGUCGUGGCUGCUUACAAUCUUCUCGACAGCACUCCGGCAGAGUAACAAUGCGCUCAAGAUUUUGCUCUAGCUCUCAGCAGCACUUCCCCUCUCUCUAAAGGCUGAUAACUUCGUCUCUACACAAACCAGAGAGAUACACAAGAGAGGGAGAGAGAAUUGAUCCAAAUGAUGUAUAGACUUGUUGGCUGCUCUUGUGUAUUUGUUGGAGGCGCCUAGGGGUCCCUUUUAUAGUCCCAAAGGGCCUAGGAGCCGCUGGACCUCCAUUUGGUAGGCGCACCGGACAGUCCGGUGCACCACCGGACAUGAACAGUCCCUGUCCGGUGCCCGAUCUCCUUCCUUUUCUGUCGAAGCCGAACGUUGAGCCUUUGGUCCCCUUGGCGCACUGGACAGUCUAGUGCAUACCGGACAGUCCGAUGCGACCAAGUGACCGUUGGCUCGGCCACGUGUCGCCCGUUGAUCGCGCUGUCGACCGUUGGCCACGGGCACCGUUGGCUCACCGGACAGUCCGGUGCACCACCGGACAAUCCGGUGAUUUUUAGCCAUGGUGCCCUCACCAAUUCCCGAGAGCAGCGAGUUCGCUGCUAGACCAGCCUGUGCACCGGACACUGUCCGGUGCACCAAGAGUUGGUGCAAGUUUGGCUGCUCUUAGCCAAAACUUCUCCAAUCCAAUUUUCUUUGUUUUAACAAGGUUCCUAGCACUUGGAGAAUAUAUGUUAUUUCCAAAAACAAUUCACUAAGGCCAGAGACAUACCUUGAUUCUUUGAUUUGCAUUUCCCAACCACUUAGCACAUAUUGAUUACAAUGACAUGUGUUGGACAUCUAAAUUAUCAAGUCAACUUGACUUGAUCUAGAUUGACAUAUAUGAGGUCCAACACCCUGCUAAGGUCACAUAGAAUAUAUCCAAACAUAGUAACAACCCAAACUAAAAAUCAAAGUGAACUUAGCUCUUUUGGGCUACUUCCAGUUCUGGUUUAGACACUGCUCCUCCUUCUAGUGACCUUGUUCAGUUCUUGAGCUUGAUCUUGAGCCUUAUGACUUACACCACAUAUCUGUAGAUGUCACCUCACUGGUUGUAAGUCAUGUCCUUAUGUAGUGAUCCUUGAUGUGUCAUAACUCUUCUUACCUCGAUCAACCUUGACUUUGCAAGUCUUCUUCUUCACCCCUGGCUUUGGGUUCCUCAGCCUCUGACUUUCUCCCAUGCACUCGGUACCUCGAAGCUUUUCUUGCCUCCAUCCUUGGCUUGAUCAGUUGUCUCUGAGUUAUGCACACCGAGUCUCACUUAUGCAAUGUCCAUCUUACUUGUGAUGUCCAUUAUCUAUAGAUAUUCCAGUCUUUGGACCAUCACACUUGUUCAUUUAUAUUGAACCUUGUAAGCUUUGCAUUAAGCACCUGUUCAACACUUAGAACACAUGUUAGUCCUUUAAUUGGGUUGUCAUCCAAACCACCAAAACCCACAAGAGAGCUUUCAAUCUCUCCCUUUUUGGUGAUUGAUUGCAACACAAUUAAAGUUUACACAAGAAUAAGAUUUAAAACACAAAUUUUGAAUUCUAAGUUCAUAGAAUGCUCCCCCUAAAUAUGUGCUUACAUUAAAAUCUUAACUUUGGUCUUAUAUACCAAAAUGCACGUACUUAGGCUAAUUUGAAGCAUUGCUACACCUUAGCACCUGUGGGAUGCAUUGUGUCAAUAAUUAAACCGUGAUGCGUAUAACACACAAAUGCACAGAAUCAGAGUUAAACACCAAUUAAAUGGAUAUACCACAGGAAUAUCAACCUACCACUAUUCACCAUUAAGAUACCAAUUUAAAGCAACAAAACCACAUGAAUAUCUAUUACAGGACAAACACUAUAUACCAAUUGAUUCAUAUCAACGGAAGCACUAAUUAUCCAUUAUCACCAUAUAAUACAACAAGAAGCAUAUGAUUAGUAUUAUCAACAAAAGGAACUCAAGGAAACCCCUUUGAGUCCUUUAGCACACAAAAAAAAUUAUUCUUCACCCUUAAGAUAAGCAUUCCUCUCAGGUCGAGGUAAGCUUUAAUGCACAAAUUCUUCCCCUUUGACAUUAAACACCAAAACCAUAUUCAAACAGGAACAUAGAAUGAUGUCAAGGGACAUCAGGGUAUUAAGCAGGGAAAAUGCAGCACACUAACAUUAUCCCCCUUACACAUUAAACAUAUGCAACACAAGCAUUGGAGGAAAAUUAAGGUGUUCCAAAUAGGCUCUUUGACUGCUAGGGUUCGACGAUUCGAUUCUCCCAUCUGUUAAACAUAUACAUAUCCUUUGUGAUUAUCCAUCCCAUUAUUUACUUUUGUUUGAUGCUAUUUUAGUUUUGUUAUAUUUUCUGUCGAUUUCUAAAUGUGUGGUCAUCAUGCAACCUAUGUUUUGUUUGUGGAUCAAUAUUUUGCAGAUAGGAUUUGUCAACAUCCCUAUUUUCAGCAGCACUCCUAUCACACUUUUUAUUUUAAACUUCACCGUGUGCAACGAUCUACUAGAGAUUCUUUAUAUUUUGUCGCAAUCUCUUCCCUUCAGAUCGCAGUACCUUGCAGUUGUAGUGGCAGCUGCCGGCUGUAGGCACAGUUCUACCUUUACCUAUGUGUCGGGGACCAUAAUUAGGGGUACCCUCAAGGCGCCUAAUUCUCAGCUGGUAACCCCCAUCAGCAUAAAGCUGCAGAGGCCUGAUGGGUGCGAUUAAGUCAGGGAUCAGUCCAUACGAGCGACUCGAUCACGCCUCGCCCGAGCCUAGCCUCGGACAAGGGCAGCCGACCCCGAGGGAUUUCCGUCUCGCCCGAGGCCCCCCUCCAACGGCGGACACAUCUCCGGCUCGCCCGAGGCCUUGCCUUCGCUAAGAAGCAACCCUGACUAAAUUGCCGCGCCGACCGACCGAGUCGCAGGAGCAUUUAACGCAAAGGUGGCCUGACACCUUUAUCCUGACGCGCGCGCCCCGGCAGAGCCGAAGUGACCGCCGUCACUUCGCCGCUCCACUGACCGGUCUGACAGAAGGACAGCGCCGCCUGCGCCACUCCGACUGCAGUGCCACUUGACAGAGUGAGACUAACAGGCAGUCAGGCCCUGCCAAAGGCACCAUAGGAAGCUCCGCCCGACCCAGGGCUCGGACUCGGGCUAAGCCCCGGAAGACGGCGAACUCUGCUCCGCCCGACCCAGGGCUCGGACUCGGGCUAAGCCCCGGAAGACGGCGAACUCCGCUCCGCCCGACCCAGGGCUCGGACUCGGGCUAAGCCCCAGAAGACGGCGAACUCCGCUCCGCCCGACCCAGGGCUCGGACUCGGGCUAAGCCCCGGAAGACGGCGAACUCCGCUCCGCCCGACCCAGGGCUCGGACUCGGGCUAAGCCCCGGAAGACGGCGAACUCCGCUCCGCCCGACCCAGGGCUCGGACUCGGGCAAAGCCCCGGAAGACGGCGGACUCCGCUCCGCCCGACCCAAGGCUCGGACUCGGGCUCAGCCCCAGAAGACGAUGAACUCCGCUUCGCCUGACCCCAGGGCUCGGACUCCGCCUUGGCCUCUGCCGAACGACCUCCGCCUCGCCCGACCCAGGGGCUCGGACUCGGCCUCGGCCAUGGAAGACAGACUCGACCUCGGCUUUGGAGGAGCCUCCACGUCGCCCGACCUAGGGCGCAGGCCAGCCACGUCAACAGGAAGCGCCAUCAUCACCCUACCCCGAGCCGACUCGGGCCGCAGAGAACAAGACCGGUGUCCCAUCUGGCUAGCUCCGCCAGAUAGGCAAUGAUGGCGCCCCGCAAGCCCUGUGACGAUGGCGACUCUCAGCUCUCUUACGGAAGCAGGAGGACGUCAGCAAGGACUCAACCGCUUCGACAGCUGUCCCUCCGCCAGGCUCCGUUGCUCCUCCGACAGCCACGACAUCACACCAGCUGGGUGCCAAGAUCUCUUCGGCUGCCACAUCGGCAUGUACUUAGGGCGCUAGCUCUCCCCCGCUAGACACGUAGCACUCUGCUACACCCCCAUUGUACACCUGGAUCCUCUCCUUACGCCUAUAAAAGGAAGGACCAGGGCCUUCUUAGAGAAGGUUGGCCGCGCGGGGGCGAGGACGAGACAGGCGCUCUCUUGGGGCCGCUCGCUUCCCUCACCCGCGUGGACGCUUGUAACCCCCUACUGCAAGCGCAACCGACCUGGGCGCGGGACGAACACGAAGGCCGCGGGAUUUCCACCUCUCUCACGCCCGUCUCCGGCCACCUCGCUUCCCCCCUUCGCGCUCGCCCACGCGCUCGACCCAUCUGGGCUGGGGCACGCGGCACAUUCACUCGUCGGCUUAGGGACCCCCCGGUCUCGAAACGCCGACAGUUGGCGCGCCAGGUAGGGGCCUGCUGCGUGUUGACGAACAGCUUCCCGUCAAGCUCCAGAUGGGUAGUCUCCAGCAACCUCUCCGGCCCGGGACGCUGCUCCGUUUCGGGAGUCUUGAGUUCAUGUCCUUCGACGGCAGCUACGACAUGAUACUCCUUCCACCGCCGCGCGACAACGACAAUGGCGGCCGACAACCCGCCCGCCGGCGGCGGAAUCGACGACAUCUUCCCCGCGUGGCGGAAGAACAACAUUCGAGCUCACCCCGUCCUCUCCCCCGCCAACGGAGGAGGAGGCGGGGCAACCAAGGCCAAGCGGGAGGCCACGCUUCGUCGGCUGUCGAGCGAAUCGACGUCCCCAGCGCCUCAACGGGGGGCGCGUCGGGCGUCGACCUCGCGUUUGAGACGAAGGCGAGCGCCGUCCCCCCGCGACACGCCAAUCCCGAGCAAGUGGACGACGCCAGCGCGCUCGCGGAGAGCUUGCAGGACGUCGCCCUCGUACCUGAGACGACGGUGCAACCAGUCCCCGACGUGACUAUGUCGCUGCUCGUCGACCAAAAGGUACCGACCGAUUCCCAUCCUACGUCAUUUUGACUCAGCCUCAACCCGCCUAGCGACCUCGCUUUGGCGGGCGCUCUCGUUGAGGCGAGUGCAACCCCUCUGGGGUUUCGUAUGCGGUCACCUUGGGACCGAUUGACGGACGUCUCGACCUACGGGCCCUCUGGGUCCGAGGAAGAUGACGAUCCCAGCAUCUGUUGGGAUUUCUCUGGAUUUGGCAACCCCAGUGCCAUGCGGGACUUUAUGACCGCAUGUGACUACUGCCUCUCCGACUGUUCCGACGGUAGCCGCAGCCUCGACGACGAGGACUGCGGCCCAAGCCGCGAAUGUUUCCACGUCGAGCUAGGGGAUCCCUCCAAAGGCAACCAUCUCGGCAUGCCGGAGGACGGUGAUCUCCCUAGGCUGGUGCCUCGCGCUGACAUCCCGCGGGAGCAAGCUGUGGUCCCCGUUCCGGCGGGGGGUCACGACCCACAGCUCGAGCAAGUCCGCGGGGCGCGGGCCAGGCUCGACGAGGGAGCAGGAGCGCUUGAGCCGAUCCGCCGGGACGUCGGGCAGGUAUGGGCGGGCCAACCCCCGGCCGGAGAAAUACGUCACCUGCCCCAGGAUUUCCAGCACCGCGUCGCCAACGACGUCAGGGUCAGGCCGCCACCCGCAUCCAGUGGGGUUGGUCAGAACCUGGCAGCCGCAGCGAUGCUCCUCCGCGCGAUGACGGAGCCAUCAACCACCGAGGGUCGGCGAAUCCAGGGAGAGCUCAAGAAUCUCCUGGAAGGCGCUGCGGUCCGACGGGCCGAGAGCUCUGCCUCCCGAAGGCAGGGAUACCCCUCGGAGCCUCAUGCCGCGACUUCCCGAUUCAUGCGGGAAGCCUCGGUCUACACCGGGCGCACGCGCAACACCGCGCCUGCGGCCCCGGGCCACCUCGGCAACGAGCACCAUCGUCACGACCGUCGGGCCCACCUCGACGAAAGGGUGCGCCGAGGCUACCACCCCAGGCGUGGGGGACGCUACGACAGCGGGGAGGAUCGGAGUCCCUCGCCCGAACCACCCGGUCCGCAGGCCUUCAGUCGGGCCAUCCGACGGGCGCCGUUCCCGACCCGGUUCCGACCCCCGACUACUAUCACAAAGUACUCGGGGGAAACGAGACUGGAACUGUGGCUCGCGGACUACCGCCUGGCCUGCCAACUGGGUGGAACGGACGACGACAACCUCAUCAUCAGCAACCUCCCCCUGUUCCUCUCCGACACUGCUCGCGCCUGGUUGGAGCACCUGCCUCCGAGGCAGAUCUCCAACUGGGAUGACUUGGUCCAAGCCUUCGCCGGCAAUUUCCAGGGCACGUACGUGCGCCCCGGGAAUUCCUGGGACCUCCGAAGCUGCCGGCAGCAGCCGGGAGAGUCUCUCCGGGACUACAUCCGGCGAUUCUCGAAGCAGCGCACCGAGCUGCCCAACAUCACCGACUCGGAUGUCAUCGGCGCGUUCCUUGCCGGCACCACCUGCCGCGACCUGGUGAGUAAGUUGGGUCGCAAGACCCCCACCAGGGCGAGCGAGCUGAUGGACAUCGCCACCAAAUUCGCCUCUGGCCAGGAGGCGGUCGAGGCUAUCUUCCGAAAGGACAAGCAGCCCCAGGGCCGCCCAUCGGAAGAUGCUCCCGAGGCGUCUACUCCACGCGGCGCCAAGAAGAAAGGCAAGAAGAAGUCGCAAGCGAAACGCGACACCACCGACGCGGACCUUGUCGCCGCCGCCGAGUACAAGAACCCUCGGAAGCCCCCCGGAGGUGCUAACCUCUUCGACAAGAUGCUCAAGGAGCCGUGCCCCUAUCAUCAGGGGCCCGUCAAGCACACCCUCGAGGAGUGCGUCAUGCUUCGGCACCACUUCCACAGGGUCGGGCCACCCGCAGAGGGUGGCAGGGCCCGCGACGACGACAAGAAGGAAGAUCACCAAGCAGGAGAGUUCCCCGAGGUCCGCGACUGCUUCAUGAUCUACGGUGGGCAUGUGGCGAAUGCCUCGGCUCGGCAUCACAAGCGAGAGCGCCGGGGGGUCUGCUCGGUGAAGGUGGCGGCGCCAGUCUACCUAGACUGGUCCGACAAGCCCAUCACCUUCGACCAAGCUGACCACCCCGACCACGUGCCGAGCCCGGGGAAAUACCCGCUCGUCGUCGACCCCAUCGUCGGCGACGUCAGGCUCACCAAGGUCCUGAUGGACGGGGGCAGCUGCCUCAACAUCAUCUACGCCGAGACCCUCAGGCUCCUGCGCGUCGAUCUGUCCUCCGUCCGAGCAGGCGCUGUGCCCUUCCACGGGAUCAUUCCCGGGAAGCGCGUCCAGCCCCUCGGACGACUCGACCUUCCCGUCUGCUUCGGAACACCCUCCAACUUCCGAAGGGAGACUUUGACGUUCGAGGUGGUCGGGUUCCGAGGAACCUACCACGCGGUACUGGGGAGGCCAUGCUACGCGAAGUUCAUGGCCGUCCCCAACUACACCUACCUGAAGCUCAAGAUGCCGGGCCCCAACGGGGUCAUCACCGUCGGCCCCACGUACAAACACGCGUUCGAAUGCGACGUGGAGUGCGUGGAGUACGCCGAGGCCCUCGCCGAGUCCGAGGCCCUCGUCGCCGACCUGGAAAGCCUCUCCAAAGAGGUGCCAGACGUGAAGCGUCAUGCCGGCAACUUCGAGCCAGCGGAGACGGUUAAGGCCGUCCCCCUCGACCCCGGCGGCGACACCUCCAAGCAGAUCCGGAUCGGUUCCGGGCUCGACCCCAAAUAGGAAGCAGUGCUCGUCGACUUUCUCCGCGCAAACGCCGACGUCUUUGCGUGGAGUCCCUCGAACAUGCCCGGCAUACCGAGGGAUGUCGCCGAGCACUCGCUGGAUAUUCGGGCCGGAGCCCGACCCGUCAGGCAGCCUCUGCGCCGAUUCGACGAGGAGAAGCGCAGAGUGAUAGGCGAGGAGAUCCACAAGCUAAUGGCAGCAGGGUUCAUCAAAGAGGUAUUCCAUCCCGAAUGGCUUGCCAACCCUAUGCUUGUGAGAAAGAAAGGGGGGAAAUGGCGGAUGUGUGUAGACUACACUGGUCUCAACAAAGCGUGUCCGAAGGUUCCCUACCCUCUGCCUCGCAUCGAUCAAAUCGUGGAUUCCACUGCUGGGUGCGAAACCCUGUCUUUCCUCGAUGCCUACUCAGGGUAUCACCAAAUCCGGAUGAAAGAGUCCGACCAGCUCGAGACUUCUUUCAUCACGCCCUUCGGCAUGUACUGCUAUGUCACCAUGCCGUUCGGAUUGAGGAAUGCGGGCGCGACGUACCAGCGGUGCAUGAACCAUGUGUUCGGCGAACACAUCGGUCGCAUAGUCGAGGCCUACGUUGAUGACAUCGUAGUCAAGACAAGGAAGGCUUCCGACCUCCUCUCCGACCUUGAAGUGACAUUCUGAUGUCUCAAAGCGAAAGGCGUCAAGCUCAAUCCCGAGAAGUGUGUAUUCGGGGUGCCCCGGGGCAUGCUCUUGGGGUUCAUCGUCUUCGAGCGGGGCAUCAAAGCCAACCCGGAGAAGAUCGCAGCUAUCACCAGCAUGGGGCCCAUCAAGGACUUAAAAGGUGUACAGAGGGUCAUGGGAUGUCUCGCGGCCCUGAGCCGCUUCAUCUCAUGCCUCGGCGAAAGAGGUCUGCCUCUGUACCGCCUCUUGAGGAAGGCCGAGUGUUUCGCUUGGACCCCUGAGGCCGAGGAAGCUCUCGGGAACCUGAAGGCGCUCCUCACAAAGGCGCCUAUCUUGGUGCCCCCAGCUGAUGGAGAAGCCCUCUUGGUCUACGUCGCCGCGACCACUCAGGUGGUUAGCGCCGCGAUUGUGGUCGAGAGGCAAGAAGAGGGGCAUGCAUUGCCCGUUCAGAGGCCAGUCUACUUCGUCAGCGAGGUACUCUCCGAGACCAAGAUCCGCUACCCACAAGUUCAGAAGCUGCUGUAUGCAGUGAUCCUGAUGAGGCGGAAGUUGCGACACUACUUCGAGUCUCAUCCGGUAACUGUGGUGUCAUCCUUCCCCCUGGGGGAGAUCAUCCAGUGCCGAGAGGCCUCGGGCAGGAUUGCAAAGUGGGCGGUGGAAAUCAUGGGCGAGACAAUCUCGUUCGCCCCUCGGAAGGCCAUCAAGUCCCAGGUAUUGGCGGACUUCGUAGCCGAAUGGGUCGACACCCAGCUGCCGACGGCUCCGAUCCAACCGGAGCUCUGGACCAUGUUUUUCGACGGGUCGCUGAUGAAGACGGGAGCCGGCGCGGGCCUGCUCUUCAUCUCGCCCCUCGGGAAACAUCUACGCUAUGUGCUACGCCUCCAUUUCCCGGCGUCCAACAAUGUGGCUGAGUACGAGGAUCUGGUCAACGGGUUGCGGAUCGCCAUCGAGCUAGGGGUCAGGCGCCUCGACGCCCGCGGCGACUCGCAGCUCGUCAUCGACCAAGUCAUGAAGAACUCCCACUGCCGCGACCCGAAGAUGGAGGCCUACUGCGAUGAGGUUCGGCGCCUGGAAGACAAGUUCUACGGGCUCGAGCUUAACCACAUCGCUCGGCGCUACAACGAGACGGCGGACGAGUUGGCAAAAAUAGCCUCGGGGCGAACGACGGUUCCCCCGGACGUCUUCUCCCAGGAUCUGCAUCAGCCCUCCGUCAAGAUCGACGACACGCCCGAGCCUGAGGCACCCUCGGUCCAGCUCGAGGUACCCUCGGCUCAGCCCGAGGCACCCUCAGCUCGGUCCGAGGCGCCCUCGGUUCAGCCCGAGGUACCCUCGGCCCCCGAGGGCGAGGCACUGCACGUCGAGGAGGAGCAGAGCGGGGCCACGCCUGAUCGAAAUUGGCAGACCCCGUACCUGCAAUAUCUCCGCCAAGGAGAGCUACCCCUCGACCAAGCCGAGGCUUGGCGGGUAGCGCGACGCGCCAAGUCGUUCGUCUUGCUGGGUGAUGAGAAGGAGCUCUACCACCGCAGCCCCUCGGGCAUCCUCCAGCGAUGCAUCUCCAUCGCCGAAGGUCAGGAACUCCUGCAAGAGAUACACUCGGGGGCUUGCGGCCAUCACGCAGCGCCUCGAGCCCUAGUCGGGAAUGCUUUCCGGCAAGGCUUCUACUGGCCAACGGCGGUGGCUGACGCCGCUAGAAUUGUCCGCACCUGCGAAGGGUGCCAAUUCUAUGCGAAGCAGACCCACCUGCCCGCUCAGGCUCUGCAGACGAUACCCAUCACCUGGCCCUUUGCUGUGUGGGGUCUGGACCUCGUCGAUCCCUUGCAGAAGGCGCCCGGGGGCUACACGCACCUGCUGGUCGCCAUCGACAAAUUCUCCAAGUGGAUCGAGGUCCGACCUCUGAACAGCAUCAGGUCCGAGCAGGCGGUGGCGUUCUUCACCAACAUCAUCCAUCGCUUCGGGGUCCCAAACUCCAUCAUCACCGACAACGGUACCCAGUUCACCGGCAGAAAAUUCUUGGACUUCUGCGAGGAUCACCACAUCCGGGUGGACUGGGCCGUUGUGGCUCAUCCCAUGUCGAAUGGGCAAGUAGAGCGUGCCAACGGCAUGAUUCUACAAGGGCUCAAGCCUCGGAUUUACAAUGACCUCAACAAGUUCGGCAAGAGAUGGAUGAAGGAACUCCCCUCGGUGGUCUGGAGCCUGAGGACAACGCCGAGCCGAGCCACGGGUUUCACGCCGUUCUUCCUGGUCUAUGGGGCCGAGGCCAUCUUGCCCACUGACCUGGAAUACGGCUCCCCGAGGACGAGGGCCUACAGCGAUCAAAGCAACCAAGUUAGCCGAGAAGACUCGCUGGACCAGCUGGACGAGGCUCGGGACAAGGCCUUACUACACUCGGCGCGGUACCAGCAGUCCCUGCGACGCUACCACGCCCGAGGGGUCCGGCCCCGAGACCUCCAGGUGGGCGACCUGGUGCUUCGGCUACGGCAAGACGCCCGAGGGAGGCACAAGCUCACGCCCCCCUGGGAGGGGCCAUUCGUCAUCGCCAAAGUUCCGAAGCCCGGAACGUACAAGCUGGCCAACAGCCAAGGCGAGGUCUACGGCAACGCUUGGAACAUCCAACAGCUACGUCGCUUCUACCCUUAAGAUGUUUUCAAGUUGUUCAUAUACCUCGCACCCACGCAAAGUUUAGUCAUCAAGGAAGGGUCGGCCUCGCCUCGGCAAAGCCCGACCCUCCCUCGGGGGCUAAAAGGGGGGAACCCCCUCUGCGUCGAAAUUGUCCUCGAAAAAAGAUCUCUGUUACCAGAAUAUCUUUCGUGCUUUUUGACUACCUCGAAAAGUGGAUCCUGAAAACGACGGAGUACACGUAAGCAGCCAAGGCUGACCGAGCCGAGGGACUCCUACGCCUCCGGGAUACGGAUACCUCACUCAUCACCUUCUGCGAUAAGUAACUCGCGUUCGGAUAAAGUGAUUCCGCGGACCGAACCAGUCUUUACGUUCGGAAGCUCUUCUGCCGAAGCGAUCCUUCGAGCCUUCUCGACUGAGUCAGUGACAGGCCCUCAUGGACGGGCGAAAGUACGCGUAAGCGGCAAGGCCGACUGAGCCGAGGGACUCCCACGCCUCCGGGAUACGGAUACCUCACUCAUCACCUUCCGCGAGAAGCAAUUCUCGCUCGCACAAACAUCCCUGUUACCGACAAAAAAGUCCAGAUACUCGAAAUAAGAGGAAAAGAGACGCAGCUUUACAACGCAGCGAGGGUGUGUGUUCUGGCCUCGGCGGCCGCAGAAGGCACACGCUACAAGACGAUCUGAUCCUGCAGGCUCGGGUCUUCACGCUGGAAGGGGGCUGUAGCACCCUCGGCAUCGACGACACCUUCAGCGAGGUCCGACCCAGCCUCGGACGGUGACGCGGUCCAGGGGCUUCUCCAGGAAUCCGGCCCGAGCAGGCGGCUCGGCCGGUUACCCCUGGGGCCUCGGCCAACCAUCUUCCAAGGGCGCCAGCCCGAUCCGAGGCCUCGGCUGAUCAACUCCGGCGUCGGUCCCGCUGACGGACAACCCGGCUAGGCUCCGGCCAACCAGGUUUUCAUUUUCGAGCCAACUCCGCCUCUGUUCGUGCUGAUAUCGCUACCCCUGGCCUCGGCUCGUCGAAGAGCGGCCAAGGGGUCUCUUUAACUAAGCUAGAGGAGCCUCAGACAACAGGGCCGAUCGAGCCGAGGGACUACUACGCCUCCGGGAUACGGAUACCUCACUCGUCACCUUGACACGGGGCGACUCAUGCUUGGUGAAGCGGUUCAGAUAAUCAACAGGCGAGUCUUAGUGCUCAAAAAUGAGGAAAAAACACGGCUCCGUGCCAAAAUUACAUACAUGUUCAGGCCUCGACAGCCACAAUGAACAAAAAACCCCUGGCAUCCAAAGUGCCAUUACAAAUGGAACUCCGGUUCCCCCUCCGCAGGUACGAACAACCCCACUCCAUGGGGGAAGGCCUGCGGAGCAACAGAAGACUGACGAGCGGCUCGCCGCCGCCCGCUCUGACUACAACGACAACGACCCCCGCUCCGGAUGGUCGAGCUGCAGCGGCGCAGGCCUCAGGGUGGGCGCUGCUGCAAUCUUGCCCUCGCCUACACCGACGCUCGAGGGGCGAGGACAAGUACGAAGAACCGGAGGCCCGAAGCGCGGAUGGUGGCGGUGAUCCCGUCGGUGACGGGGACUUCUCGAGCCGCCUCCGCCUCGGCACCGAUGGCAGGGGCCAUCAGCCCCCCGGCAGAUCCCCACUCAAAUCCUCCCGGGCGAGUGGGGCACCGACCUCCGCGUGAGGGCGCCAUCCCGGAGCAAAGGCAGGACCACCCCAGAACACGAACGCCGCCCUAGCAGCGCGCGACAUCUUGGGUGGUCGUCCCAUGCACACGGCGCGGCAGCCGCCCUCCGGCAGGAGGGGCCGCCGGGAGCCAAGCCGACAAGCCCGACACGCUGGAGGUGACGACGCCCACCGUCGACUAGCCCUGCGUUGUCGAAGUCCGGGCCGCCCGCAGGGCCAGUGAGCGCCCUCUCCCUCGAACGCCGCGGGAGAGGGUAACCCACGAACCCGCGCGGGAGGUAGAGCGCUGGCUCAGCCUGGCCCCCACCCCAGCGAGGAUGAUGAACAUCCUUGAAGCUGAGGGUGGGAACAAGAUCGCAGCCCGGCUUGCUUCUCCCCAUCCAGGAGCUGGAGGUCACCGUCUUGGGUGACCACCAGCGGAGGGGAGCAACCGGGCUGUGUGAUGAAAAUCCUUGAAGCCGAACGAUGGCUGAAAGGUACCAACUCCCACGGAGUUGCGUUCCUCCAAUGAUGAGGCGAAAAGACGGCGGGUAUCCCCCAUCCGGGGGCUUGGAAGGUGGAAAGACGCGAUGCAUAAGGGAGGGAGAAGACAUGGUCGCCUUCCGAAAGGGGUCGCCCUCCUUUUAAAGGCAGCUCUCCCUACGUGCGCCCCCAAACGUCACGGGCUGAGUCUUCUCCAACACGCACCAAGGCCCUCCCCUGCGGCGCGGGGGCUGGGUCCCGCAUGUCAUGCAAACCGGCUCAGAGCAGAAGAAUCCAAACCGCCGCGCGUGGUGCGCACAACCGCCCAACGGUUACAAGCGACCCCCCACUUUUGCCCAGACCAACGGGCGGAAGGGGCGGGCAGCCAUGCAGGCGGCAUGCAACCGCACCAGGUGGACGCGCUUCUCCGACUCCCAACGCGCCAGCAUGGAGGCCCAGGCCCACGCGUCACGCAACCGGCGCGCCGGAUGCUGCAUGCAAGCAACUGCACCGCCACUUGCGCUACCACCGCGCCUCUUCGGUUGCGGAACCAAUGCCGCGACUUGAGGCGACCCAGCGCACGACCCAGCAGCGCCAGCAUGGCGCGACGGUCAAUGCGGCCGAAAGUGGGCCGACAGUAAUGACGGUGGCAGGCGGGCGGGAGCAGUGGUCAUGUCGUCGGCCAGGCUCACGUCCCAUCCGGGGGCAGCAAGAGAACCCCCUCUCACGGCGUGAAGACAGGGCGCCCGUGAUCCGUUCCUCGAACGGCUCGCGCACGCGCAACGGCCGCCCUGCCAACCACUCGCCCCGUCGCAUUAACUCUGCGGCGGGACAGGCGGCGCUUCUGGCGGGAGAAGCGGGCGACGCUUCGCCUUCGCCGUAAUAACCGCGCCAAAAAAGGUACGCCACGUCGUUCGAUUUCGUAUCCUUUUCCUUUUUUUCCUCUUUCUCUAUCUCUUGCAACAGGGACCGGGAAAGGGGGAUACCCCGAAAAGGAUCCUUCCCUGUGAAGGAACCGGGCUCCGAGCCCCCCCCUACUGAUCAGAGGUUCGAAGGCUGGCCCCCCGAGGGGUUCAACAGCCGCCUCAGAUCGCGUGGGCCCUACACCCACUACUGGUCAGAGGUUCGAAGGCCGGCCCCCCGAAGGGCUCCACGGCUGCCUCAGGCUACUCGGGCUCCGCGCCCAUUACUGAUCAGGGGUUCGAAGGCUGGCCCCCGAAGGGUUCACAGUCGCCUUAGACGCCGAGCGAGGGAUGACCAGGGGUACGUUCGAUACAUAGCCGAGGCUCGGGCUACGCUCCCGAGGUACCCUAGGACAUUUCCGAGACCAGCGGGAGCGAUCUUGUAACGGAAUCCCAUCGGAGGGAGGCAUCGAGCCCUCGGACCCCGUCGCCAGGGGACCGGGUCCGACAGAUCACCCGCAGGUACUUUUGGGCGUGCCUCUGGGCCCCUAGCCGACCCCUAACGAACGGGGCACGGACGUCCACUCGGAUUACCCGCUUGCAGCUCACCGGAGACACCAUGUUCGAUGCCCAUCGAGGGUAACAUGGCGCUCUCCCCCCUCCUCCUUGCGGAAAGGCGACGUAGGGGCGUAUGUAAAAAAGCCGAGUCUGUCCCUGAUCGCCCUCUCGCCCUGUGCGGAAGCUCGGGGGCUGCUCUCGCAAACCUGGCUCCGGCCGAACCGUUGACAGCGUCAACAUACCAGCCCGAGAACUUGGGCCCCGACCGUGCACCCGGGCUACGGCCAGUUCGCAUGAGGGAACAACCAGACCAGCCGAAGCAUUGCGCAAGGCAUUAAGACCUCGAAGGAGUGAAACCACUCCUCCGAGGCCUCGGGGGCUACACCCGGCGGGUGCGCUCGCGCGCACCCGCCGGAACAAAAUGCAACCGAGAAAGGCUGGUCCCCUUGCAAAAAAGUGCGACGAAAGCCUCCAAGCAAGUGCUAACACUCCCUUCGAGGCUCGGGGGCUACUGUCGGGGACCAUAAUUAGGGGUACCCUCAAGGCGCCUAAUUCUCAGCUGGUAACCCCCAUCAGCAUAAAGCUGCAGAGGCCUGAUGGGUGCGAUUAAGUCAGGGAUCAGUCCAUACGAGCGACUCGAUCACGCCUCGCCCGAGCCUAGCCUCGGACAAGGGCAGCCGACCCCGAGGGAUUUCCGUCUCGCCCGAGGCCCCCCUCCAACGGCGGACACAUCUCCGGCUCGCCCGAGGCCUUGCCUUCGCUAAGAAGCAACCCUAACUAAAUCGCCGCGCCGACCGACCGAGUCGCAGGAGCAUUUAACGCAAAGGUGGCCUGACACCUUUAUCCUGACGCGCGCCCCCCGGCAGAGCCGAAGUGACCGCCGUCACUUCGCCGCUCCACUGACCGGUUUGACAGAAGGACAGCACCGCCUGCGCCACUCCGACUGCAGUGCCAGUUGACAGAGUGAGACUGACAGGCAGUCAGGUGCUGCCAAAGGCACCAUAGGAAGCUCUGCCCGACCCAGGGCUCGGACUCGGGCUAAGCCCCGGAAGACGGCGAACUCUGCUCCGCCUGACCAAGGGCUCGGACUCGGGCUAAGCCCCGGAAGACGGCGAACUCCGCUCCGCCCGACCCAGGGCUUGGACUCGGGCUAAGCCCCGGAAGACGGCGAACUCCGCUCCGCCCGACCCAGGGCUCGGACUCGGGCUAAGCCCCGGAUGACGGCGAACUCCGCUCCGCCCGACCCAGGGCUCGGACUCGGGCUAAGCCCCGGAAGACGGCGAACUCCGCUCCGCCCGACCCAGGGCUCGGACUCGGGCUAAGCCCCGGAAGACGGCGAACUCCGCCCCGCCUGACCCAGGGCUCGGACUCGGGCUAAGCCCCGGAAGACGGCGAACUCCGCUCCGCCCGACCCAGGGCUCUGACUCGGGCUAAGCCCCGGAAGACGGCGAACUCCGCUCCGCCCGACCCAGGGCUCGGACUCGGGCUCAGCCCCAGAAGACGACGAACUCCGCUUCGCCCGACCCCAGGGCUCGGACUCCGCCUUGGCCUCUGCCGAACGACCUCCGCCUCGCCAGACCCAGGGGCUCGGACUCGGCCUCGGCCAUGGAAGACAGACUCGACCUCGGCUUCGGAGGAGCCUCCACGUCGCCCGACCUAGGGCGCAGGCCAGCCACGUCAACAGGAAGCGCCAUCAUCACCCUACCCCGAGCCGACUCGGGCCGCAGAGAACAAGACCGGUGUCCCAUCUGGCUAGCUCCGCUAGAUAGGCAAUGAUGGCGCCCCGCAAGCCCUGUGACGACGGCGACUCUCAGCUCUCUUACGGGAGCAGGAGGACGUCAGCAAGGACUCAACCGCUCUGACAACUGUCCCUCCGCCAGGCUCCGUUGCUCCUCCGACAGCCACGACAUCACACCAGCUGGGUGCCAAGAUCUCUCCGGCUGCCACAUCGGCAUGUACUUAGGGCGCUAGCUCUCCCCCGCUAGACACGUAGCACUCUGCUACACCCCCAUUGUACACCUGGAUCCUCUCCUUACGCCUAUAAAAGGAAGGACCAGGGCCUUCUUAGAGAAGGUUGGCCGCGCGGGGGCGAGGACGAGACAGGCACUCUCUUGGGGCCGCUCGCUUCCCUCACCCGCGUGGACGCUUGUAACCCCCUACUGCAAGCGCACCUGACCUGGGCGCGGGACGAACACGAAGGCCGCGGGAUUUCCACCUCUCUCACGCCCGUCUUCGGCCACCUCGCUUCCCCCCUUCGCGCUCGCCCACGCGCUCGACCCAUCUGGGCUGGGGCACGUGGCACAUUCACUCGUCGGCUUAGGGACCCCCCGGUCUCGAAACGCCGACACUAUGUGUUCACAAUCUGACCCGAGCCAGCAAACUGCUAGUUGCUGAUGCAUGCUUGUCAUGCUUCUCCGCUCGCGCGGAGGCGUAAACAUAGAACAUUGUUGUUGGCUUCACCGCUUUACUGGACCACACUACACCUGCGACGUCGCGGCUGCAGGCGUCGAGGGCGGUGGGGAAUUUGGGGUCGAUUCGAAUCAUAUGACCCUAUCGAACCUGUUUAGGAGCAAGGAUAAUGGAGGAGGUGGAAAUGCCAAAAUCCCUUACCCGGAGGGCUUAUUUGGGAGCAAGAAUAUCGAAGAAGAUUAGAUGGACUGAAAUCCACUUGGUAUUUAAAAUUAAAUAGGAAGAAAUUUUUAACUCCUCUAAUCCCCUCCGAUAUAGGUCAGGUCCUCAAUCGUCUACAUUAUCCUUGCUACUAAAGGAGUCACUCGUGUCUGAGUCCUCACCUUGUGGCACAUCGAGGCCGGGCCGCUGCCGCCUGCCAGUCCGCCAACACCACAGCUGGUUUCGCCGGGCACACAAGCCAUCUAGCUGCAUCGGAUUCGAUCGGAGCUUUUUGUGCUUUAGCGCGGCUGCAGCUCAACUUACCCUCGCCUGCGGUCGCCGGGGAUCCAGCGGAAAGCGACGCCGGCACGUGCACUUUGCACCGCCCAGCCCAGGGGCCAUUCUGCUUCAGCAGCCGUCGUCGAUGCACCCGGCACACGGCCGUUGAUGGCCGUCGAGAAAGCCACGGACCGGAUCUAGAGACAGAGAUGGCCUUUUGACCCUGGAAAACGCAGCGCAAAUCCGCCACCUUUAAACUAAAAAAAACAAAAGAAGCUUCUUCACAGGCACAGUCCUACGCAGCCGUUGGAAGCUAAGAUCUGGAGGAGGAGGAGGAGGAGGAUGGUCUAGCUAGCAACUGUUUGCCCACAUUGCAUGUCUGGGGCCGGUGAGCGUAUGGAUUUGGAUUACACUAGGCAGUCCGUGUACUACGCCCGUAUAAACAUUUGAUGACCGGCCAAUUGAUGCGUGGGUAGCGUUAUCAUAAGACACCGGAGCACGGCAGAGCACACGCAAUUAGUAGGCGUGUGAAUUCUGUUUCGCUCGCUGUGGGCCACUGGGCCGGUCAUCAUUCUUCUCGGCUGUUUAUUGGCAUGCUCGAAAAGCAUAUGUAUGCACAGCUAGCUAGAGCCAAGAAGCGGACAAGCUAAUGUGUAUGGUUCAUCCAUUCAUGAGAUGGGUGUUGAUGGUGCUGGGCAGAUCAGGAAUGGCGUUGCACGGCACCAAAAAUCAAGACCAAAGAGGAAAAUAUGGUAGGAGCGGGACAAGAAAAAAGACUGUUCAGAGGAUCAAUAACCUGCUACAAUGACAGAAGGAAAAAAAAACAAUGGCAUGCCUUGCAAAUAACUUGAACAGCAGGGGCCAGUGGUAUCACGCUCACACAAGGAGCUGAAGUGCACGCCACCACUAUCCAUCCUGCUCCGGUGCUCCCACUCCCGGACUCCCCUCAGUCCCUCACUCCCACGCGCACGCAUAGGCAUAGCAAGCACCGCGCCCAGCCGGCCGCACCUCCGCUCCGCGCUCUCGCCCCGCCCACACAAUGCGCCGCGCUGCCGCGAUCCUCCUGUCCCUCGCCCUCGCAGCCGCCGCCACCACCACGGCGGCGGCGGCCGUGGCGAAGGCUCCCGUGCCGCCGCCGCCGCCGCCGCCGCCUCCGAACGUGACGGCGGAGAUGGCCAAGGGCGGGUGCAAGGCGUUCGCGGGCCUGAUCGCGGCGUCCCCCGACGCGUCGUCCACGUACCAGUCGGCCGUGGAGGGCGGCAUGACGGUGUUCUGCCCCUCCGACGACGCCGUGCGCGCCUUCCUGCCCAAGUACAGGAACCUGAGCGCGGACGGCAAGGCGGAGCUGCUGCUGUUCCACGCCGUGCCCGUGCACUACUCGCUGGGGAGCCUCAAGUCCAACAACGGGCCCAUGAACACGCUGGCCACCGACGGCGCCGCCAGGAACUUCAACUUCACGGUGCAGAACCGGGGCGACGUCGUCACCAUCGCCACGGCCGCCUCCGCGCCCGCGCGGGUCAAGUCCACGGCGCUGGACGAGGACCCGCUCGCCAUCUACGUCAUCAGCGCCGUGGUGGAGCCCGUGGAGCUCUUCAAGCCCGCGCCGGCGCCGGUGCCAGCGCCCGCCCCCGCCCCCGCUAGUGUCGCGGACGCGCCCAGGCCCGGCAAGGCCGCCGCGGGCCGGCGCCACCCGCCGCCCGCCGCGGCCGACGCGCCCGGCCCCGCCGCAGAGGACAACGCGGCUCCCGUGGACCAGAAGGACGCCAAGAAGAGCGCGGCCGCCGGCGCGCCGUGCGCUCUGUGGUGGCUCGCCGCCGCGCUGGCCGCGGCCUCAGCAUUGGCUUAGCGAUCGGUGUUGUUUGUGCCUUUAGUUUUUUCUUCCGGUGUUGAUCCAUUGGCGUGCGAUCGUGGUUUGUGAUGGCGUAUUUGCGAGGUUUGUGCUUUUUUUUUUCUCGAUCGGGAGAAAAUAGUGUAUGCCUGCUUCGGUUUAGAUGUUUCUUCUUGCCUUUUUUUUUCUAGUUCUACCUGUUACCACAACUAGAGUGAGGAUCAGCGCGUGUUUAUCAGGAGGUGUUUGUAUUUUUGGUUAUGAUGAUGACGGACGAGUGAGGUCGGGGCACUGAAUUGCUGCUCUGUCUGACGGCGACGAGCUUCUGGUGGUUUCCUUGUUAUCGUAGGUUAAAAUCGCUGGUAUGGUACGCCAAUUUCUAAUGUUCAUGGUCAAAUCUCACUAACGAAAUCUGACUUGCUACGGCCUUCAUCGGAGCGCAUAAACAAAUGCAUCGCCGGAUCUCCGAAGCGAGUGCCGCCCCUACGCAUUCAUUUCUUGCGCCCCCAGUUGUCGGUGGAUGCCAUUCAUUCGACACUCAUCGCAGGUCAAACAACCCGAGCCACACACCACAAAAGUAUACUACGCCUAUACUACUGCCAAUAAAAGACAAGUGGAGUGUGGCAGUAAUAAAAACAAGGCCCAAGUGUUGGCUCAGAGUACCAGAGCCCUGGAGCCUGGAGGGCUGACGCAGCACUGCGGAACCGUGAGCUCCACGGGGCUUCUAUUCUUGGCGCCGAUCAUGUGCGAUGGAGCACGAAAGCGAGCAGUGCGCCACCGACGAAACGGUGGGCCUCUGACGCUGGCACCGCCCGCCCACUGCGUCAUCCUCCCUGCAUAGCCCAAACAUCUUUUGGUGCUGGAAAGUACUUUGCACCGUCGGCCAUCGAUCAGUCCACGCAACGCCACUACGCCAGUAUCAUCUCUCGUGUCAGUGCCACAAGACGAUCGGUCAGACGGUCACUGCUGCGACCCCACUCCUUGGCCCUUCACUGGUGUCCUAUUAGGAACGCCUCCGACGACCUCGAUGGCCUAGCAAAUCCAAUGUCUGCUGUAACGUCGGGUCACUAACGUGCGGAACGGAACCAGAUCUAUACCAGUCUCAUAAAUCAGUGACUCAUCUGUCGUAACGUCUAGGGAUGUUAUGGUACAGGAUCAAGUCGAGGGGGAGGGGAGCACCUGAAUAGGGCACUUGGUUAUUAACCUCUUCAAGCUUUGUCGGGUACCCAGUAAUGGGAUACCCAAGGCCAGACUCAUAAGCCUCUCUGGCUCAUUUAUCGACAAAAUCCCCACCAAGCGAGUCUACGAGGUAGGACGAACGAUCAAGUCUCCGUCGAGCAAGUCUGCAAGGUGGGGCGAACGACUAAGUCUUCGCCGAGCGAUUUUACGAAGCGGGAUGAACGACCAAGUCUUUGCUGAGCAAGUCUGUGAGCCGGAGUGAAUGACCAAGUGCCCGCCAAGCAGAUCCACAAGAAAGGAACACAGGCCGACGCUAUCAGCCCACGGCAGCCGCAACAAGACACAACAGUGCCAAGCCACGUCCGAACCAUACAUACAGUACCAAAUGGUCUUUGGCGGACGCGACGUGACACCGCCGUAUGCGCCCACGAGUAUAACCUCACUGACUCAUGGGGCCAAUCAAACUAGGUCAUACGGGCCUUAGCACCAGAGUCUCUACAGUGACACACGCAUACCCGAAGGAACGCAACAGGUACACCAUACCGGGGUGUAUGUCUACGCACGCUAGGGGGUGACACAAGCCCAUGACAACAGGUAGAACCACGCCACACACGACCACUCCGUGGGAGUGACUCGAAGGACCCCGCUCACUACUGUGGAGGUGUUAGCAAUAGACUAGCUACAGGGGUCGUAUGACAAUUGACAAACGAGCGAGACAAUACGCCAUACCAAGAGCACGACUACGCACGACCCUAUGGAGAACACACACGACGACUCGGAGAAGCCUCUCUCUCCCUCCUCUCUCUCUCUCUCUCUCUCUCGUAGAAGACAGAUCUCCAUUGUAAGGUCCAACCCUUGAAUUAUAAAAGGGCCUGGCCCAAUUUUCUAUAGGGACACAAGCACAAAUGUUGUAACAUGUCUCAAAGUAAUACUACGAUCAACACUACACUAGACUAGGGCGAAAGCCUGAACCAUUAUUAUCCCAGUGUCUUAGUUCCUCGCUCGGAUCCCCGUGAUGGACCAUUCGGAGUGAGUCCGCACUUGCAUCCCCCACCGAGCACAAAUCUAUUAUCGCAUCCUCGCAAACGGAGCCACUCUCUAAUGGCAACAGAAGGAGCUUGACUCACUCGUCGAGAGGCUCGACCGGGUUUACGAUAACAUUGAGAAGAGACGCCUCAAAACCAAAAGGCCCCAGGCGAGGAAUAUUUGCGACCAGAUCGCUGAAAACAGCAAUGGCACGCAGUACUUCGUCAAGCCCGGGCAAACGUGGCUGCGACGACCAUGAUGCUCCGAUCGAUCCUCGAGCUGGAUGAGAUCGAGGCAAAGACCGGGACCUUUGCAACUUGAUGGAGAGAGUCGCGGUACAGCAAGCUAAGGUCUGAAAGGGAAAUGUGCCCUUGGGUCAUUUCUAAGUAUUUUGGUGAUUUAAUGUCCAACACAAGUGCCUAAGUGUUAAAUGGUGGACAAAGUACAAAUCAAGUAUAAAGGUAUGUUUCUUAGACUUAGUAUAUUGUUUUAGAGACUAAUGUAUUGUGUCUAAGUGCUGGAAACAGGAAAAAUCAAGUUGAAAUUAAAGACGACUUUGUUCAGCCAAAGUCAGCUCUGUCAGGGUGCACCGGACUUUCCGGUGGUGCACCGGACAGUGUCCGGUGCGCCAGGCUGGCUCAGGUGAACUUGCUGCUCUCGGGAAGUAAUUAACGGCGUACGGCUAUAAUUCACCGGACUGUCUGGUGUGCACCGGACUGUCCGGUGAGCCAACGGGCGGCCGGGCCAACGGUCGGCCGCGCGAUCCGCGCGAGACACGUGGCCGAGCCAACGGUCGAAAGGAGGCACCGGAUUGUCCGGUGUGCACCGGAUUGUCCGGUGUGCACCGGACUGUCCGGUGCGCCAACGGCUCCAAAGCGCCAACGGUCGGCUUCGCCAAAGAAGGAAAGAAAUCCGCACCGGACAGUGUCCGGUGGUGCACCAGACUGUCCGGUGCGCCAGGCGACAGAAGGCAAGAAUUGCCUUCCUGGAAUGCACUCAUCGGCUCCUAGCUGCCUUGGGGCUAUAAAAGGGACCCCUAGGCGCAUGGAGGAGUACACCAAGCAUUCUCUAAGCAUUCCUAAGCACCAAGACUUCGAUUCCGCGCAUUCGAUUCUUUGCGAUAGCAAUUAGAGCUCCAUUUGAGUUGUGAACUCGCUGAGUGUGUUGUGAGCUCUUGUUGCGACUUGUGUGCGUGUUGGUACUCUAAUUUCGUGUCUUGUGUGUGUUGCUCAUCCCUUCCUUACUCCGUGCUUCUUUGUGAACAUCAAAGUGUAAGGGCGAGAGGCUUUAAGUUGUGGAGAGUCCUCGCAAUCGGGAUAUAGAAAAGCAAAGCAAAACACCGUGGUAUUCAAGUUGGUCUUUGGACCAUUUGAGAGGGGUUGAUUGCAACCCUCGUCCGUUGGGACGCCACAACGUGGAGUAGGCAAGUGUUGACUUGGCCGAACCACGGGAUAAACCACUGUGCCAUCUCUGUGUUGAUCUCUUUGUGGUUUUCGUGUUGUGCAAGCUCUCCUCUCUAGCCACUUGGCUUAACUGUGCUAACUCCUAAUCAAGUUUUGUGGAUUAAGUUUUAAGUUUUCACAGGAUCACCUAUUCACCCCCCCUCUAGGUGCUCUCAAUUGGUAUCAGAGCAGUUCUCUUCAAGAAAGGGACUAAUCGCCCGAAGAGAUGGAUCCUAAGGGCAAGGGGAUGGUGGUCAACGAUAAGGAGAAGGAGUCCUUUGUCAAUGAUCCAAAGGAGGACAAGCCCACUGACUCGGGCUCGAGCCACAAAAGAAGAGAUGGGAGGAAGAAGAAAACAAGGCGCAUCAAGGAGAUCGUCUACUAUGACGACAGCGAUGAAUCCUCUUCUUCCCAAAAGGACGACGACAACGACUAUGAGAAAAAGAAGACGGUUAACUCAAACUUCUCUUUCGAUUAUUCUCGUAUUCCACAUAGCUCAAAUGCACAUUUGCUUUCCAUUCUACUUGGUAAACCUCCUCAUUUUGAUGGAGAGGACUACGGAUUUUGGAGUCACAAAAUGCGUAGUCACUUGUUCUCUCUCCGUCCGAGUAUAUGGGAGAUAGUAGAGAGUGGGAUGAAAUUUGAUAGCUCGGAUAGUCAUUUAUUUAUAAAUGAGCAGAUUCAUAAAAAUGCACAAGCUACUACUGUGUUGUUAGCCUCAUUGUGCAAGGACGAGUAUCAUAAGGUGAGCGGCUUGGACAAUGCCAAGCAGAUCUGGGACACCCUCAAGAUCUCACAUGAGGGGAACGACGUCACCAUGCUCACCAAAAUGGAGUUGGUGGAAGGCGAACUCGGUAGAUUCACGAUGAUAAGAGGGGAGGAGCCAACACAGACAUACAACAGGCUCAAGACCCUCGUCAACAAGAUAAGGAGCUAUGGAAGCACGCGAUGGACGGACCACGACGUUGUCCGACUAAUGCUAAGGUCCUUUACCGUCCUUGAUCCACAUCUUGUGAACAAUAUUCGUGAGAAUCCUAGGUACACGAAGAUGACGCCCGAGGAGAUUCUUGGAAAGUUCGUAAGCGGGCGGAUGAUGAUCAAGGAGGCUAGGUACGUCGACGAUGCAUUAAAUGGCCCAAUCCAAGAGCAUCAAACUAUAGCUCUCAAGCAACAAGGAGCAAGGAGGCGCUACCUAGCAAGGUGGCGCAAGUUGAGGCGGCCGGGCUUAAUGAAGAAGAGAUGGCCCUCAUCAUCAAGAGAUUCAAGACGGCACUAAAGGGUCGCAAGGAGCACCCCAACAAGAACAAGACAAAGGGGAAGCGCUCUUGCUUCAAAUGUGGUAAGAUUGGUCAUUUUAUCGCUAAUUGUCCCGAUAAUGAUAGUGACCAGGAAAAGAAGAGCGGAAAGUGGGAGAAGAAGAAAAACUACAAGAAGGCGAAGGGCGAGACACAUCUUGGAAAGGAGUGGGAUUCGGAUUGCUCCUCAUCCGACUCCGACAACGAAGGACUCGCCGCCACCGCCUUCAACAAGUCAUCCCUCUUCCCCAACGAGCAUCACACUUGCAUCAUGGCAAGGGAAAAGAAGGUAAGCACUCGUAAUGCUAGUACUUAUGCUUCUUCAAGUGAGGAUGAGUCUAGUGAUGAUGAUGAAAUAGAUUAUUCAUGCUUAUUCAAGGGCCUAGAUAGAACCAAGGUUGACAAAAGUAAUGAAUUAAUUGAUGCCUUAAAUGAUAAGAAUAGGUUAUUAGAAAAGCAAGAGGAUCUUUUGUAUGAAGAGCAUGAUAAAUUUGUUAGUGCACAAAAUUCUCUUGCUCUAGAAAUUAAAAGGAAUGAAAUGCUUGCUUGUGAACUAUCUACUUGUCAUGAAACCAUUUCUACUUUAAAAGGUGCUAAUAAUGAUUUAAAUGCUAAACUAGAAAUAGCAAACAAAUCUAACUCUUGUGUAGAACAUGUUAAGAUUUGCAAUAGGUGCAAAGAUUUUAAUGUUGAUGCCUGUAGUGAACACCUAGUUUGCAUCUCUAAAUUAAAUGAUGAAGUGGCUAGUCUUAAUGCCCAACUUAAGACUAGCAAGAGUGAUUUUGAUAAACUAAAAUUUGCUAGGGAUGCCUACACGGUUGGUAGACACCCCUCAAUUAAGGAUGGGCUUGGCUUCAAGAGGGAAGCCAAGAACUUGACAAGCCAUAAGGCUCCCAUCUCCAUCAAGGCGAAAGGGAAGGCCCCUAUGGCUAGUAGUGCUCAUAAGAACCAUGCUUUCAUGUAUCAUGAUAGGAGACAUUCUAGGAAUGCUUUUAGAAGUUAUGAUGCUUUUGAUUCUCAUGCCAUGGUCGCUUCUAGCUCUUCUAUUAUGUGUGAUAGAAAUGUUGCUAGGAAAAAUGCUAUGCCUAGAAGAAAUAUUGUUCAUGCUCCUAGGAAAGUAAUGAAUGAACCUUCUACAAUUUAUUAUGCUUGCAAUGCUUCAUUUGCAAUUUGUAGAAAGGAUAGGAAGAUAGUUGCUAGAAAAUUAGGGGCAAAAUGUAAGGGAGACAAAACUUGCAUUUGGGUCCCUAAGACUAUUGUGACUAACCUUGUAGGACCCAACAAGAGUUGGGUACCUAAGACCCAAGCCUAAUUUGCCUUGCAGGUUUAUGCAUCCGGGGGCUCAAGCUGGAUUAUCGACAGCGGAUGCACAAACCACAUGACGGGGGAAAAGGGGUUGUUCUCUUCCUACGUCAAGAACAAGGAUCCCCAAGAUUCAAUCAUAUUCGGUGAUGGGAACCAAGGCAAGGUGAAAGGGUUAGGAAAAAUUGCUAUUUCGUCCGAGCACUCUAUUUCUAAUGUGUUUUUAGUUGAGUCGCUUGGAUAUAACUUGUUGUCUGUUAGUCAACUUUGCAAUAUGGGAUAUAACUGUUUAUUCACAAUGUAGAUGUGUCUGUCUUUAGAAGAAGUGAUGGUUCAUUAGCUUUUAAGGGUGUAUUAGACGACAAACUUUAUUUAGUUGAUUUUGCAAAAGAGGAGGCCGGUCUAGAUGCAUGCUUAAUUGCUAAGACUAGCAUGGGCUGGCUGUGGCAUCGACGCUUAGCACAUGUGGGGAUGAAGAACCUUCACAAGCUUCUAAAGGGAGAACACGUGAUAGGUCUAACUAAUGUUACUUUCGAAAAAGAUAGACCUUGUGCAGCUUGUCAAGCAGGGAAACAGGUGGGAAGCUCUCAUCAUGCCAAAAAUGUGAUGACAACAUCAAGACCCCUGGAGUUACUUCAUAUGGAUCUUUUCAGACUCGUCGCCUAUCCAAGCAUAGGAGGAAGUAAGUAUGGUCUUGUUAUAGUUGAUGAUUUUUCCCGCUUCACUUGGGUAUUCUUUUUGCAGGAUAAAUCUGAAACCCAAGGGAUCCUCAAGCGCUUCCUAAGGAGAGCUCAAAACGAGUUUGAGCUCAGGGUGAAGAAGAUAAGAAGCGACAAUGGGUCCGAGUUCAAGAACCUUCAAGUGGAGGAGUACCUUGAGGAGGAAGGGAUCAAGCACGAGUUCUCCGCUCCCUACACACCACAGCAAAAUGGUGUGGUAGAGAGGAAGAACAGGACGCUUAUAGACAUGGCGAGGACGAUGCUUGGAGAGUUCAAGACCCCCGAGCGCUUUUGGUCGGAAGCCGUGAACACGGCUUGCCACGCCAUCAACAGGGUCUACCUUCAUCGCCUCCUCAAGAAGACGUCAUACAAGCUACUAACCGGUAACAAACCCAAUGUUUCGUAUUUCCGAGUUUUUGGGAGUAAAUGCUACAUUUUAGUGAAGAAGGGUAGGAAUUCUAAAUUUGCUCCCAAAGCUGUAGAAGGGUUUUUGUUAGGUUAUGAUUCAAAUACAAAGGCGUAUAGGGUCUUCAACAAAUCAUCGGGUUUGGUUGAAGUCUCUAGCGACGUUGUAUUUGAUGAAACUAAUGGCUCUCCAAGAGAGCAAGUUGUUGAUCUUGAUGAUGUAGAUGAAGAAGAUGUUCCGACGAUCGCAAUUCGCACCAUGGUGAUUGGAGAUGUGCGACCACAGGAACAAAAUGAGCGAGAUCAACUUUCUUCCUCAACAAUGGUGCAUCCCCCAACUCAAGAAGAUGAACAGGUUCAUCAAAAGGAGACGUGUGAUCAAGGGGGAGCAAAAGAUGAUCUUUUAAUGGAGGAAGAAGCACAACCGGCACCUCCAACCCAAGUCCGAGCGAUGAUUCAAAGGGAUCAUCCCGUUGACCAAAUUUUGGGUGACAUUAGCAAGGGAGUAACUACUCGAUCUCGAUUAAUUAAUUUUUGUGAGCAUUACUCCUUUGUCUCUUCUAUUGAACCUUUCAGGGUAGAGGAGGCCUUGCUAGAUCCGGACUGGGUGUUGGCCAUGCAAGAGGAGCUCAACAACUUCAAGAGAAAUGAAGUUUGGACACUGGUGCCUCGUCCCAAGCAAAAUGUUGUGGGAACCAAGUGGGUGUUCCGCAACAAACAAGACAAGCACGGGGUGGUGACAAGGAACAAGGCACGACUUGUGGCAAAAGGUUAUGCCCAAGUCGCAGGUUUGGACUUUGAGGAGACCUUCGCUCCUGUGGCUAGGCUAGAGUCCAUUCGUAUUUUGCUAGCAUAUGCCGCUCACCAUUCUUUCAGGUUGUUCCAAAUGGAUGUGAAGAGCGCUUUCCUCAACGGGCCAAUCAAGGAGGAGGUGUACGUAGAGCAACCCCCUGGCUUCGAGGAUGAAUGGUACCCCGACCACUGAGGCAACUCAAGGAUGGGACCUUCAUCUCCCAAACGAAGUACACGCAAGACUUGAUCAAGCGGUUUGGGAUGAAGGAUGCCAAGCCCGCAAAGACUCCAAUGGGAACCGACGGACACACCGACCUCAACAAAGGAGGUAAGUCCGUUGAUCAAAAGGCAUACCGGUCUAUGAUAGGGUCUUUACUUUAUUUAUGUGCUAGUAGACCGGAUAUUAUGCUUAGUGUAUGCAUGUGUGCUAGAUUUCAAUCUGAUCCAAGGGAAUGCCACUUAGUGGCUGUGAAGCGAAUUCUUAGAUAUUUAGUCGCUACGCCUUGCUUCGGGAUCUGGUAUCCAAUGGGGUCUACCUUUGACUUGAUUGGAUAUUCAGACUCCGAUUAUGCUAGAUGUAAGGUCGAUAGGAAGAGUACAUCGGGGACGUGCCAAUUCUUAGGAAGGUCCCUGGUGUCAUGGAGUUCUAAGAAACAAACUUCCGUUGCCCUAUCCACCGCUGAGGCCGAGUACGUUGCCGCGGGACAGUGUUGCGCGCAACUACUUUGGAUGAGGCAAACCCUCAGGGACUUUGGCUACAAUCUGAGCAAAGUCCCACUCCUAUGUGAUAAUGAGAGUGCUAUCCGCAUGGCGGAUAAUCCUGUUGAACACAGCCGCACAAAGCACAUAGACAUCCGGCAUCACUUUUUGAGAGACCACCAGCAAAAGGGAGAUAUCGAAGUAUUUCAUGUUAGCUCCGAGAACCAGCUAGCCGAUAUCUUUACCAAGCCUUUAGAUGAGCAGACCUUUUGCAAGCUGCGUAGUGAGCUAAAUGUCUUAGAUUCGCGGAACUUGGAUUGAUUAAUAGCAUACAUGUUUUUAUGCCUUGAUCAUGUUCCUUAAUGCAUUUUGUUCUUUCUUUAUGGUGCUCAAGUUGUACAAGCACUCCCCGGACCUCACAAGUCCUUUGCAAGUGAUGCACAAAUUUAGGGGGAGAUGUGCUACAACUUGACCCUUUGAGACUAACUGUGUGCUUGAGUUUGCUUAAUUUAGUCUCAAAGGAGGAUUGAAAGGGAAAAGGUGGACUUGGACCAUGAAAGACUUCCACUGCACUCUGAUGAAAGAGUAACUUAUUCCAAGUUCAUCUCUAUACUCUUAUUACCUUUUUACUCUUAGUUGAAGAUUUUGGUGAGGCGAUGGGGUUAAAGGGCCAAAAUUGAUCCCGUUUUGGUGCUUGAUGCCAAAGGGGGAGAAAAUAAGGCCAAAGCAAUAAAUGGAUCAGCUACCACUUGUGAAUUUUGAAAAUAGUAGAGUUAGAGCUUUUGUUUGUCAAAAUACUCUUGUUUGCCUCUUAUUGUCAAAAGUUGGUCUCUUGUGGGGAGAAGGCUCAAUUAUGGGAAAAAGGGGGAGUUUUUGAAUCCUUGAUCAAUUUCUCGUGAAAUAUCUCUCUUUAUGUUUCAACAUGUGUGUUUGACUUAGAGAUAGAAAAUUGAGUUUGAUUUGCAAAAACAAACCAAGUGGUGGCAAAGAAUGAUCCAUAUAUGUCAAAUUUGAAUCAAAACAAUCUUGAGUUCUUAUUUGAAGUGAUUUUGCACUUGUUCUACUUGCUUUAUGUUGUGUUGGCAUAAAUCAUCAAAAAGGGGGAGAUUGAAAGGGAAAUGUGCCCUUGGGUCAUUUCUAAGUAUUUUGGUGAUUUAAUGUCCAACACAAGUGCCUAAGUGUUAAAUGGUGGACAAAGUACAAAUCAAGUAUAAAGGUAUGUUUCUUAGACUUAGUACAUUGUUUUUGAGACUAAUGUAUUGUGUCUAAGUGCUGGAAACAGGAAAAAUCAAGUUUAAAUUAAAGACGGCUUUGUUCAGCCAAAGUCAGCUCUGUCAGGGUGCACCGGACUGUCCGGUGGUGCACCGGACAGUGUCCGGUGGUGCAGGCUGGCUCAGGUGAACUUGCUGCUCUCGGGAAGUAAUUAACGGCGUACGGCUAUAAUUCACCGGACUGUGCGGUGUGCACCGGACUGUCCGGUGAGCCAACAGUCGACCGGGCCAACGGUCGGCCGCGCGAUCCGCGCGAGACACGUGGCCGAGCCAACGGUCGGAAGGAGGCACCGGACUGUCCGGUGUGCACCGGACAGUGUUUGGUGCGCCAACGGCUCCAAAGCGCCAACGGUCGGCUUCGCCAAAGAAGGAAAGAAAUCCGCACCGGACAGUGUCCGGUGGUGCACCGGACUGUCCGGUGCGCCAGGCGACAGAAGGCAAGAAUUGCCUUCCUGGAAUGCACUCAACGGCUCCUAGCUGCCUUGGGGCUAUAAAAGGGACCCCUAGGCGCAUGGAGGAGUACACCAAGCAUUCUCUAAGCAUUCCUAAGCACCAAGACUUCGAUUCCGCGCAUUCAAUUCUUUGCGAUAGCAAUUAGAGCUCCAUUUAAGUUGUGAACUCGCUGAGUGUGUUGUGAGCUCUUGUUGCGACUUGUGUGCGUGUUGGUACUCUGAUUUCGUGUCUUGUGUGUGUUGCUCAUCCCUUCCUUACUCCGUGCUUCUUUGUGAACAUCAAAGUGUAAGGGCGAGAGGCUCCAAGUUAUGGAGAGUCCUCGCAACCGGGAUAUAGAAAAGCAAAGCAAAACACCGUGGUAUUCAAGUUGGUCUUUGGACCACUUGAGAGGGGUUGAUUGCAACCCUCGUCCGUUGGGACGCCACAACGUGGAGUAGGCAAGUGUUGACUUGGCCGAACCACGGGAUAAACCACUGUGCCAUCUCUGUGUUGAUCUCUUUGUGGUUUUCGUGUUGUGCAAGCUCUCCUCUCUAGCCACUUGGCUUAACUGUGCUAACUCCUAAUCAAGUUUUGUGGAUUAAGUUUUAAGUUUUCACAGGAUCACCUAUUCACCCCCCUCUAGGUGCUCUCAAUGUCGAUCAGCGAGAACACACCGGCAUGGAAAGCCGUGGCACACACACGACCUCGUCCUAGAGCAAGGGGGAGCAGGCCUCAAAGUCAACUCCAACGCGUAUCCACAUAAAGCACCAUAUCGGAGGCAUUCGCUACGCCCGGCACAUCCUCGACAACAGGCGUCGAGAACAAGAAGAAGUUGAGCAGUCGUGCGAAAGAAGGCAUCUGCAACCCCAGCCCACCUGGGACAAGACCACGUGCCUUUGGGCGCGAGAUCCAAAAAGCGCAUUUCCCCAAAGGUAUGUGCGCCAGCCAACAUUUUCAAGUACAAAAUAGGUACGUCCCACCGUGAUCCAUUAGGAGUGGGUACCCCAUAUUUUGGGUACCAAUAGAGGUCCCUGGGCCCACCUCGGGUGAGGUGGCAAACCCGCAGGUGGGGCCAUACCUGCUUUUUGCUCCAUGCUAGUCCUGUGCAGCAACUCUACGCAUGCGGCCUCCAUGCCGAGUGGUUCGCUUGGCGACGCUUUGCUGUUGCUACAAAGACAAAACUUGGGAGCAAACAAUUCUUUCAUAAGUUAGCAUACUUGAGCUAUGCGACGUACACCAGUAGACUGGGUUUAUCAGGCUAGAACCCACCAUACCGGAACUCACAUAAGUGCAGCCUGGCUCAAAGGCUAGAUUUCCCUCUACUGCCCCCCGAUUACAUUAGCUCUCUAGGAGGUAGUCUCAUCUGUCUAAGGAAACUGUCAGACCAAAGGUCGGUCUUGAAUACAACCCAGGACCGAUGCUUAGCAGCAUACCCUCAUGAUCCUUACUUUGUUGCACUAAAUCUAUUGAAUCAUGUCACUGAAUCUUGCCGAGCAAAGUUUUGGGAUCCAACCCUAAAAUUUGGAUGGGGUCUAGACUUUUAGGGACCAAGUCCGAGGUAUUGGUUCAAUUGUUCUAGGGUGGCGGAAGGUGUUAGCUUACAGUACGGAACCAAGCUAAGAGACUACCUAGCUCCGGACUGCCCCCAAGAAUGUGGACCUAUCCCCUAGACCUAGUCCCCAGCAGUUCUAUCCCUGUUCAACAUCAAGGGGGGUCCCAAACUAAGUGACAAGCUAGUACAUAACUUAGAUUUUAUGAUAACAACAGAAGUGAGAAUCUCAAGUGGGGGGGUAGAAGGAACGUCAUGUGUCGUUUAAAGCAGGAAAAGAGAUUGAUACAUAAGGAUUGAACUGAGAGCAAAAUCUUCCUUUAUUACUGGAUACAUGAGAUCUGUGCGAUGAACACUAGAGACCGGGUUUACGAGGGCGACCCUCACCGGGCCGCGUUUAUGAGGUUGGACCUCUCCGAGCCAUACCGGCUUCAUCAUAUAAGAAGGGAAGAAAAUGAGAAGAUGCAAGACCAGGGAUGCCAAAGCACAAGUCCUCUAUCCAUAAGAAGAAACUUAUGCCAUCUUUGUCUAUGAUAGCACAUCCCCAUUAUCAGGUGAUUUGCAAGCUGCACUAUGGCUGGCUUCGUACAAGCCUCUUCAACUUCCCACAUAUGAUGGUCAAUCUAACCCCAAGAAAUUCUUGUUGAGCUAUUAGGCAACCAUUGCCUUCUUCAAUGGGAACACAAUAGUACUGGUCAAGUCAUUCAUCAUGGCUGUAAGGGAUAUAACACAAACCUAGUACUCCUUUCUUCAUCCAGGAUCAAUGUAACGCCCUGAAUUUGGGGGUAGAUUUUUUUUUCUUCUUUUCUCUCACCAAAUUCGGGCGUUACCCUUUCUUUUUCCCUUUUCUCCUCGCUAAGCCUUGAUCUUUUCCAAAGUUAUGGCGAGAUUCGGCUUGUGAUCUCGUGUAAAGCAAAACCCUAAAAUGCUUUAUUUUGUUUGCUGCACCAUGCCGAACCAUGCAUUUAUUUUGGUUGGUUGAAAUUGUGAAAGCAUUCAUCUAGAAAAUAGAUUAAAGAAAAAGGAAAAUCUUUUUCUUCUCUCUCCCCCCUCUCCUCCCCUUUCGGCCCAGCCGCCCCCUCCCCUCGCGCGCGGCCCAGCUGGCCAGCCGGCCCAGUCGGUCUUCCCCCCUCUCCCUUCCCGCCGUGGGCCCCGCGCCAGCCUCCCGGCCCAGCUGCGGCCCAGCCGCCCCCGCCGGCCCCCCGCUCCCCACGCCGCGCCCACCUCGCGCGCGGUUGGAAAAACCGCUGCCGCCUCCCCCGCGCGGGCCCCACCCGUCAGCUCCCCCUCCCCAAACCCCUCUCUCUCUCCUCCCCUGCUCGCCCCCGCUCCCCUGCCCGACCCGCCCGCGCCCCCGCUCGGCUCACCGCCGAACCGCUCGCCACCGGCCUCCCUCCUCCGCGCGGUAAGCCCCUCCCCCCUCCUCCCUCUCCUCUCCCCCUCCGUCCCUCUCCCCGGCGUGGUCCCGCCCGUCCCGGAGUCCCGGCGCGGCCCCGCCCCCGGAGCUCGCGGCCAUGGCGUCCGCGGCCAUGGCGCGGCGUCCCGGUGCGACCCCCCUGCCCCGCCCGACGAACCCCCCCUCGCGCGCGCCCGCGGCGCUCGGCCCCGGCCAUGGCGGCGUCCCGGCGCGGCCCGGCCUCGCCCCGCCUGGCGCGCUCCCCUCCCCGCGCCCCGGCGGCGCUCGGCCCCCGGAGUGGCUCGGCCUCCCCCGCCCGCGGCGCUCGGCCCCGGCCCCUGCGUGGCCUCGCCCGCCCGCAGCAGCCCCGGCCCCACCCCCUUUCCCCCCCGCGUCUCGGCCUUCGCCGGCCGACCAUGGCGCGGUGGUCUGCGGCCCCGGCGUGGCGCCCUCCCCGGCGCGGCCCCCUGCCCGGCGCAGCGUGCUCGCCCGCCCGUCCCCGGCGUGGCCUCGGCGGCGCUCGCGCAGCCCCGACCCCCGGCGUGGCCUCGGCGGUGCGCGUGGAGCCCCGGCGCGGCCCGUGCAUGCACGGUGCCCCCGGCGAGCUCGCCGCACCCGCGGCUCGCGGCCAUGGCGGCUCGGUCCCGCCCGCCUUGGUGCGCCCCGUCCCUGCGCAGCGCGGCCCCGACCCGGUGUGGCUUCGGCUCGCGCGACCGUGGUGCCCCUGCGUAGCGCGACGCGUGCGCUGCUCGGCCCCGGCGUGUGCGCGACUCGUUCACGACACGUCAGCGCGGCCUUGCGCGUACGUACCCGCGUGGCGCACGGUGCUUUGGCAUGGCUCGUCGUGCCCUCGGCGCGACGUAUAGCGCUGUGCCGCGUUCGCGACGCGCUUGUCUACCCCCUAGACGAGCCCGUCUACCCCCCCCUCCCCGUAUAUUUUAUGCGCGCUAAUCACGUUGUUCAUGUUAAUGAAAUAGGAAACUCAAUUUGGAAAUUGGUUAUGUUGGUUAAUUCAUGUAGUUAAUCGUCUAGCUCAUUUAAUGUUGAUCGACUGAAAGUGGUCACGUUUCUAUUAGUGCAUGUAGCUAAUCCUUAUUAUUGGAGCUAAGUAGAACUAGAACACGUAACACCUAUUUAUUCUUCUACCCGUAAUGCUUCUCGAGCAUAAGCUCUGACCCCUGCGAGACCUUCCCCCGUCUCUUUCCAACCAUGGUAAAUGCAAUAUCGCAUGUCAUAUUCUAUGCAUGUUUAAUCUACUUUUUCUCUUGUAUGGUGUACUGUUUGUUUCCUAAUUUGAAUGGAUGGAUGUAUGUAUGUUUGCACUCGCAUAGAGAACGAUUCGGUCGAAGAGCCCGAAGAACUCGCAGGAGAAGCCCCUGAGCAGCAGUCGGUUGGUGGAGGCAAGUGUCCCUUGACCCAUCUUUGUCAUAUACAUUCUUUAAUUCACCUUCCGCAUUACACAUUUAUGCCUAAGGAUUGACUAGCUUUGUUAUCCAUGUCCUUGUUUACCUAUUUGGGUUGGAUUAUUAUUGCUUAGUCUUAUGCUAUUGCUCCACUCUAAUUAAUGAACAUGAUGAGAUUAUCUAUGAUACGCUGUCUUCCCUUUUGAUUAUGAUGAUGGUACUUGUGGCCUUUAAGGGGACUCGAGCGGUUUCUCGAGUGCCUCUCCGUAAGGACCUGCUCUUUGAAUGACCGUCCGGGAAAACAGUGCAACCAUGAGGGUGGAAUGGGGUGCCCUUAGCUGAAUAAUUAGAGGAUCCGGGGUGUAGUUCGCUUAGUCGUCGUGCCGUCAAUGGGGCUCGGUGUAUGCGGCUCGCUCUGUCAAGUUUGGGUUCGCCCCUUGGGGAGGAGUGCGGUGCAUUUAGGAAACCUAACGGGCGGCUACAGCCCCGGGGAAUCUUUGUAAAGGCUACGUAGUGAUGCCCUGCUGGGUCACCUUGGUAGUGAUCAAUAGAGAGUCAUGAUCUCCGGGCAGAAAGGGAAUCACGGCUUGUGGGUAAAGUGCACAACCUCUGCAGAGUGUAUGAAAACUAAUAUAUCAGCCGUGCUCGCGGUUAUGAGCGGCCAAGGGAGCUCCAGUGAUUAGUGGUACUUGAUCAGAGAUGUUCGGAUUUGUAGAUGGCAAUGAGAUGGAUGGAUUCUUGGUAUUGACUCUGGUAAUGGUAAGUGGUACUCUUUCCGUUUGGAAAGGAGUACGUUUGGGUUGAUAACGUGGGUUAAUUCUAAAACUUGGCUUUCUCUACUAGUAAUAAUAAUCUGACCUACUAAAAGCAACUGCUUGACUUAUCCCCCACAUAAAGCUAGUCCACUACAACCAGACAAGACACUUGCUGAGUAUGUUGAUGUAUACUCACCCUUGCUCUACACACCAAAACCCCCCCAUCCCCAGGUUGUCAGCAUUGCAACCACUGCUCAGGAGAAGAUGAAGUCGUGGAAGGAGACUUCCAGGAGUUCCAAGACUACGACGAGUUCUAGGCGUGGGUUAGCGGCAACCCCCAGUCGGCUGCCUGUGAAGGCCGCGUUUAUCUACGUUUCUUUUCCGCACUUUGAUUUAUUGUAAAGACUAUGUGGAUGUCUCAGACAUAUGAUGUAAUCGACUAUUAUUCCCCUUUUUCAAUACUAUUUGAGCACAGUGUGAUGAUGUCCAUGUUAUGUAACUGUUGUGUACGUGAAUUGCUGAUCCUGGCACGUACAUGGUUCGCAUUCGGUUUGCCUUCUAAAACCGGGUGUGACAUAAGUGGUAUAAAAGCCAGGCUGACUGUAGGACCGCUAACCUAGAGUAGAAUGGUCGUUCUAAGGAUUAUAUACCUCUGUCCCUGCCUUGACUUUGAUAUCCCUUCAAAAUUUGGUCAUAUCGACCAAAACUAUGUUCUACUGUAUAUUAUACCUUGCUGAAAAUUGUGUUUUAUUCUAAUCCUUCAUUUAUUUAUGGUUCAUUACUUGCUGGUCAUAUUAAUUCUGUUCUCACUCUUUUGCUUGUGGUGUCUUUUGUAGAUGGCUUGCCUUAGACACACCGCACAGAAGUCUGUCAUCCCCUUCUUACCCUCUCGUCUCGCGGAGCGUCCGCUUCGCCGUCCCGUGGCCGGUCAGUCCAGCCACUUGGAGAGGCUGCACCACCGCCUGCAUGAGGAGCAGGAACAUCGUCGACAGGAGCAACAGGGCUCUUCUUUCUCGCUCCAGCAGGAGAUAGAGUCUGUGAGGAGCUGCUCCUCUGUGCUUCCCCUGGAGGCGCCCCCUGCACCACCACUGGGCGCCUCAGCCUCUGGAGUAGCUGCUGGAGGAGACCCAGACGACGAAGGUGGCGACGACAGCUCGAGCCACGACACCAACUUUUCUGCUGAUCAGGAGCCGGAAGGAUGGGUUGCUCGACCCAUCACUCGCGACGCUGCUCGCGGGUGUCACUUCCACGAUGCGCUCGACACCCUGCUACGUCGGGCACUUAACCGGCGUACUUGGUCCAUCGAGUAUCGUUGUGUGGUCUACCAGCAUAGUCACGGGGUCAACCCGGACCGCUGGGAGGCGACCUGCUUGGUGCGCCGUCCGGAGAACAGUCUCCAGGGUGCGGAGGCCUGCUCAGAGCACUAUUCUAUCUCUGAGCGGGACUCAGCUGAGGCGGCCAUGCAAGAUGCCGCACGGCGUGCGCUUUCGCACUACUGAUCGGUUCUCGGUGGGGUAGCUGACGGUCUCAACCUGAAGUAUUACCCCCGCCGUCCAUCUGGCAGCAUAGGAGGCGUGAUUGUUUCACCUGUCGACGAGGACAAUCCUAGGUUGAGCAGCACAGUCAACCUAGCCGCCGUGCUAAACACGGAGCUGGACCAUGCAUUAGACGAGCUGAGUAGGGCUCGUGCUGAUAUCGCCCUGUUGUGGGCUGAGCGCGCGGAACGUCAUCACCUGGAUGAUGGUUCCCCCGCUCCCGUCGGGGACUCAGCACCCGUACCGCUCACCUCGGCGUGGACGCCAGUCUUAUGGCAAUCCCGACUGCAAGACCAAGAUAAAUCUAGAACCAUAGAUCGUUAGAGUCGAAUCUUGUAAUUAAUACGAAAUAUAUACGUAGAAGCUACCGUCUUAGCGUUAGUCUCGCUCUUAGUCAGUCUUAGUUAGACUGGGUAGUUUGCUAUAUCCUGUGCAUUUAUGUUUGUCAUGAUGAACUAUGUAUGAUUUGGAUCUUUGUAAUGACUGUCACCAGAGUGUGGGUAUCCCCUGCAUUUUGGUUUACCUGUUAUAUGUUAAAGGAGUUAGCUAUUUAGUUGGGAAGCCUUUUAUUCCACUUUCCUCUUUAUCUGAGAAGCUGUGUGGUCUGUGUUGGAGAUCAGUGAAGAUGCUCGUCUGUUCAGGGUUGUUGAAGAAUUCUAUGCUCUUUUCUUAUGCUGCAAGAUUUGCAAGAUCAGUUCUGAUAUGUGGUUGCAUUCUACAGAUGUCAGAGAACAGGCGCAGAGGAGGAAGGCGUGCUCAGCAGGAGCAAGCCGCUCAGCAGGAAGAGGUACCCCAGCAACAGCAACUGCCGCCCCCGCCCCCGAUGUACAUCGAGCAGAUGUUCCUGAUGCAGACUCAGGCAGUUCAAGCCAUUGGUCAGACUCUGGUCGCUAUUCAGCAGCAGUAGCAACAACAGCCACCACCUCAACCUCAGAUGCCUCAGAUGCCCAGAGACAAGCGUGCUGAAUUCAUGAGAGGUCAUCCACCAACGUUUGCUCAUUCUUCUGACCCCAUGGAUGUUGAAGACUGGUUGCGCACUGUGGAGCGAGAGUUGCAUACCGCUCAGUGCGACGAUAGGGAGAAAGUCCUGUAUGGUCCCCGUCUGUUGAGAGGAGCAGCUCAGUCAUGGUGGGAGUCUUAUCUUGUCACCCAUGCCAACCCCGACACCAUCACCUGGGAAGAGUUCAGAGGUAGCUUUCGUCAGUACCAUGUUCCUGCAGGUCUGAUGACAGUGAAGGAGGAGUUCCUGGCCCUCAAGCAAGGGUCAUCGUCUGUUAGCGAGUACCGGGACAGGUUUCUGCAGCUGUCUCGCUAUGCUCCUGAAGAUGUCAACACCGACGCCAAGCGACAGUACUGUUUCCUGAGAGGCUUGGUUGAUCAUCUGCAAUAUCAGCUGAUGAAUCAUACCUUCCCGACAUUCCAGCACUUGAUUGACAGAGCAAUCAUGACAGAGAGGAAGCGUAAAGAGAUGGAGGAUCGCAAGCGCAAAAUCAGUGGACCCCAGCCUGGAAGUAGCAAUCGUCCUCGUUUCUCAAGCAAUCAACCUCAGCAGUUCAGGCAGAACCAGCGUCCACCUCAGCAUCAGCAGUUCCAAAGGCAGUAUCCUCAGCACCAGUAUCAGAAUCAUCAGAACAAUCAGUCAGGAGGAGGUCAGUUUCAGAGGCAGAAUCAGCAGGCACCUUGUCUUCCUGCCCCAGCAAACCAGCAGAACAGUCAGGCAGCACCAGCUCAGGUUGGAAACAGAGCAUGUUUCCACUGUGGAGAGCAAGGCCACUGGGUGAUGCAAUGUCCGAAGAAGGCAGCCCAGCAACAGUCAGGCCCUAAUGCCCCAACAAAGCAGAAUGUGUCUCAGCCUGGAGCAGGCAACCGCUCUCAGCCACGCUAUAAUCAUGGGAGACUGAACCACUUGGAGGCUGAAGCAGUUCAGGAGACCCCCGACAUGAUAGUAGGUAUGUUCUCAGUCGACUCUCAUAUUGGAGAAGUGUUAUUUGAUACUGGAGCAACACAUUCUUUCAUUACUGCAUCAUGGGUAGAAGCACAUAAUCUUCCAAUAACUACCAUGUCAACCCCCAUUCAAAUUGACUCAGACGGUGGUAGAAUUCGAGCUGAUAGCAUAUGUUUGAAUGUAUGUGUGGAAAUAAGGGGGAUAGCGUUUCCCGCUAACCUCAUAGUAAUGGGUACUCAGGGAAUAGAUGUCAUCCUAGGGAUGAAUUGGCUAGAUAAGUAUCAGGCAGCUAUCAGUUGUGAUAAGAGGACAAUCAAAUUGGUGUCCCCACUAGGAGAGGAAGUGGUGACCGAGUUAGUCCCACCUGAGCCGAAGAAAGGAAGUUGUUAUCAGAUGGCUGUCGAUAGCAGUGAAGCAGACCCAAUUGAGAGUAUCAAGAUUGUGUCUAAGUUUCCAGAUGUGUUUCCAAAGGACUUCUCAGGUAUGCCACCAGAGCGGAAAGUUGAAUUUGCCAUAGAGCUUCUUCCUGGAACCGCCCCCAUCUUUAAGAGAGCUUACAGAAUAUCUGGGCCAGAGUUGGUCGAGCUUAAGAAGCAGAUCAAUGAGUUGUCAGAGAAAGGUUACAUCCGGCCAAGCACCUCACCUUGGGCUGCCCCUGUCCUAUUUGUGGAAAAGAAAGAUGGCACCAAAAGGAUGUGUAUCGAUUAUCGAGCUCUGAAUGAGGUCACCAUCAAGAACAAGUACCCCUUGCCCAGAAUAGAAGAUCUGUUCGACCAGUUGAGAGGAGCCAGUGUGUUCUCCAAGAUAGAUCUGAGGUCAGGUUAUCAUCAGCUCAGGAUCCGACCUUCAGACAUUCCGAAGACGACAUUCAUUACCAAGUAUGGGUUGUAUGAGUUCACAGUGAUGUCUUUCGGUCUAACCAAUGCACCGGCCUUCUUCAUGAACUUGAUGAACAGUGUAUUCAUGGACUAUCUCGAUAAGUUUGUGGUGGUAUUCAUCGAUGACAUUCUGAUUUAUUCUCAAAGUGAAUAAGAGCAUGCAAGUCAUUUGAGGAUGGUAUUGUAGAGAUUGUGAGAGCACCAGUUGUAUGCAAAAUUGAGCAAGUGCGAGUUCUGGAUCAGUGAAGUCCUGUUCUUGGGUCACAUAAUCAACAAAGAAGGAUUGGCUGUGGAUCCGAAGAAAGUGGCAGACAUUCUGAACUGGAAAGCGCCAACGGAUGCUCGAGGAAUCAAGAGCUUCAUUGGAAUGGCGUAUAUUAUCGGCGAUUCAUUGAAGGGUUUUCGAAGAUUGCAAAACCGAUGACAGCUUUGCUAGGCAACAAAGUUGAGUUCAAGUGGACUCAGAAAUGUCAAUAGGCCUUCGAAGCGCUGAAAGAGAAGUUGACUACAGCGCCUGUCUUAGUAUUGCCUGAUGUGCACAAGCCCUUCUCGGUGUAUUGUGAUGCUUGUUACACUGGUUUGGGAUGUGUGUUGAUGCAAGAGGGAAGAGUUGUGGCUUACUCGUCCCGACAGCUGAAAAUUCAUGAGAAGAAUUACCCAAUUCAUGACCUAGAGUUGGCAUCAGUGGUUCACGCACUGAAGACAUGGAGGCACUAUCUGUAUGGACAGAAAUGCGAUGUCUACACAGACCACAAGAGUUUGAAGUACAUAUUCACUCAGUCAGAGCUGAAUAUGAGGCAACGAAGAUGGUUAGAGCUGAUCAAAGACUAUGAGUUGGAGAUUCAUUACCAUCCAGGCAAAGCGAACGUAGUGGCAGAUGCUUUGAGCAGAAAGAGUCAAGUCAAUCUGAUGGUCGCGCGUCCGAUGCCUUAUGAGUUGGCCAAAGAGUUUGAUAGGUUGAGUCUCGGAUUUCUGAAUAAUUCGCGAGGAGUCACAAUUGAGUUGGAACCUACCUUGGAGCGGGAAAUCAAAGAAGCGCAGAAGAACGAUGAGAAGAUCGGUGAGAUCCGGCGACUGAUUCUAGAUGGCAGAGGCAAAGAUUUUCGAGAAGAUGCAGAAGGGGUAAUUUGGUUCAAAGACCGCUUGUGUGUUCCUAAUGUCCAGUCUAUUCGGGAGUUGAUCCUCAAGGAAGCUCAUGAGACAGCCUAUUCGAUUCACCCUGGCAGUGAGAAGAUGUAUCAAGAUCUGAAGAAGAAAUUCUGGUGGUACGAAAUGAAGAGGGAAAUCGCAGAGCAUGUGGCUAUGUGCGAUAGUUGUCGAAGGAUCAAGGCAGAGCACCAGAGACCAGCCGGAUUGUUGCAACCGUUGCAAAUUCCUCAGUGGAAAUGGGAUGAAAUCGGCAUGGAUUUCAUAGUCGGAUUGCCUCGCACUCGAGCCGACUACGAUUCCAUUUGGGUAGUGGUGGACCGCUUAACCAAGUCAACCCACUUCAUACCCGUCAAGACCAACUACAGCAGUGCAGUGUUGGCAGAAUUGUACAUGUCUCGGAUCGUCUGUCUUCACGGUGUGCCAAAGAAGAUAGUGUCAGACCGAGGAACGCAGUUCACCUCUCAUUUCUGGCAGCAAUUGCAUGAAGCCUUGGGCACACAUCUGAAUUUCAGUUCAGCUUAUCAUCCACAGACAGAUGGUCAGACCGAGAGAACCAAUCAAAUUCUUGAAGACAUGUUGAGAGCCUGUGCGUUGCAAGAUCAGUCCGGAUGGGACAAGCGAUUGCCUUAUGCAGAGUUCUCCUAUAACAACAGUUACCAGGCCAGCUUGAAGAUGUCACCUUUUCAGGCGCUCUAUGGGAGGAGUUGUAGAACUCCGUUGCAAUGGGAUCAGCCUGGAGAAAAGCAAGUGUUCGGGCCAGACAUUCUGCUUGAAGCUGAAGAGAACAUCAAGAUGGUUCGAGAGAAUCUGAAGAUAGCGCAAUCAAGGCAGCGAAGCUAUGCAGACACUAGAAGAAGAGAUCUGAGUUUUGAGGUUGGAGACUUUGUCUAUCUGAAAGUGUCACCGACCAGAGGAGUCAGAAGGUUCGGAGUGAAAGGCAAGCUAGCACCCCGCUACAUCGGUCCAUACCAGAUUGUCGCAAGGCGUGGAGAAGUGGCCUAUCAGCUCAGCCUACCAGAAAAUUUAUCUGCUAUGCAUGAUGUCUUUCAUGUGUCUCAGUUGAAGAAGUGUUUGCGUGUGCCAGAAGAGCAGUUGCCAGUGGAAGGUAUGGAGGUCCAGGAGGACUUGACCUACACAGAAAAAACCAGCGCAAAUCCUUGAGACUGCAGACAGAGUCACCCGAAGGAAGACCAUCAGAAUGUGCAAAGUCAGAUGGAGUCACCACUCUGAGGAAGAAGCAACUUGGGAGCGCGAAGAGGAUCCGAUGGCCAAAUACCCUGAGCUCUUUGCUAGCCAACCCUGAAUCUCGAGGGCAAGAUUCUUUUAAGGGGGAUAGGUUUGUAACGCCCUGAAUUUGGGGGUAGAUUUUUUUCUUCUUUUCUCUCACCAAAUUCGGGCGUUACCCUUUCUUUUCCCCUUUUCUCCUCGCUAAGCCUUGAUCUUUUCCAAAGUUAUGGCGAGAUUCGGCUUGUGAUCUCAUGUAAAGAAAAACCCUAAAAUGCUUUAUUUUGUUUGCUGCACCAUGCCGAACCAUGCAUUUAUUUUGGUUGGUUGAAAUUGUGAAAGCAUUCAUCUAGAAAAUAGACUAAAGAAAAAGGAAAAUCUUUUUCUUCUCUCUCCCCCCCUCUCCUCCCCUUUCGGCCCAACCGCCCCCUCCCCCUCACGCGCGGCCCAGCUAGCCAGCUGGCCCAGCCGGCCUUCCCCCCUCUCCCUUCCUGCCGUGGGCCCCGCGCCAGCCUCCCAGCCCAGCCGCCCCCGCCGGCCCCCCGCUCCCCACGCUGCGCCCACCGCACGCGCGGUUGGAAAAACCACCGCCGCCUCCCCCGCGCGGGCCCCACCCGUCAGCUCCCCCUCCCCAAACCCCUCUCUCUCUCCUCCCCUGCUCGCCCCCGCUCCCCUACCCGACCCGCCCGCGCCCCCGCUCGGCUCGCCGCUGAACCGCUCGCCGCCGGCCUCCCUCCCCCGCGCGGUAAGCCCCUCCCCCUCCUCCCUCUCCUCUCCCCCUCCCUCCCUCUCCCCGGCGCGGUCCCGCCCGUCCCGGAGUCUCGGCGCGGCCCCGCCCCCGGAGCUCGCGGCCAUGGCGCGGCGUCCCGGUGCGACCCCCCCCUCGCGCACGCCCGCGGCGCUCGGCCCCGGCCAUGGCGGCGUCCCGGCGCGGCGCGGCCUCGCCCCGCCUGGCGCGCUCCCCUCCCCGCGCCCCGACGACGCUCGGCCCCCGGCGUGGCUCGGCCUCCCCCGCCCGCGGCACUCGGCCCCGGUCCCUGCGCGGCCUCGCCCGCCCGUGGCAGCCCCAGCCCUGGCCCCCCUUUUCCCCCGCGUCUCGGCCUCCGCCGGCCGGCCAUGGCGCGGCGGCAUGCGGCCUCGGCGUGGCGCCCUCCCUGGCGCGGCCCCCUGCCCGGCGCGGCGUGCUCGCCCGCCCGUCCCCGGCGCGGCCUCGGUGGCGCUCGCGCAGCCCCGGCCCCCGGCGUGGCCUCGGCGUUUCGCGCGGAGCCCCGGCGCGGCCCGUGCACGCACGGUGCCCCAGGCGAGCUCGCCGCACCCGCGGCUCGCGGCCAUGGCGGCUCGGUCCCGCCCGCCUUGGUGUGCCCCGUCCCUGCGCAGCGCGGCCCCGGCCCGGCGUGGCUUCGGCUCGCGUGGCCGUGGUGCCACUGCGUAGCGCGACGCGUGUGCUGCUCGGCCCCGGCGUGUGCGCGACUCGUUCGUGACACGUCAGUGCGGCCUUGCGCGUACGUACCCGCGUGGCGCACGAUGCUUUGGCAUGGCUCGCCGUGCCCUCGGCGCGACGUAUAGCGCUCUGCCGCGUUCGCGACGCGCUUGUCUACCCCCUAGACGAGCCCGUCUACCCCCCGUAUAUUUUAUGCGCGCUAAUCACGUUGUUCAUGUUAAUGAAAUAGGAAACUCAAUUUGGAAAUUGGUUACGUUGGUUAAUUCAUGUAGUUAAUCAUCUAGCUCAUUUAAUGUUGAUCGACUGAAAGUGGUCACGUUUCUAUUAGUGCAUGUAGCUAAUCCUUAUUAUUGGAGCUAAGUAGAGCUAGAACAUGUAACACCUAUUUAUUCUUCUACCCAUAAUGCGUCUCGAGCAUAAGCUCUGACCCCUGCGAGACCUUCCCCUGUCUCUUUCCAUCCAUGGUAAAUGCAAUAUCGCAUGUCAUAUUCUAUGCACGUUUAAUCUACUUGUUCUCUUGUAUGGUGUACUGUUUGUUUCCUAAUUUGAAUGGAUGGAUGUAUGUAUGUUUGCACUCGCAUAGAGAACGAUUCGGUCGAGGAGCCCGAAGAACUCGCAGGAGAAGCCCCUGAGCAGCAGUCGGUUGGUGGAGGCAAGUGUCCCUUGACCCAUAUUUGUCCGAUACAUUCUUUAAUUCACCUCUCGCAUUACACAUUUAUGCCUAAGGAUUGACUAGCUUUGUUAUCCAUGUCCUUGUUUACCUAUUUGGGUUGGAUUAUUAUUGCUUAGUCUUAUGCUAUUGCUCCACUCUAAUUAAUGAACAUGAUGAGAUUAUCUAUGAUACGUUGUCUUCCCUUUUGAUUAUGAUGAUGGUACUUGUGGCCUUUAAGGGGACUCGAGCGGUUUCUCGAGUGCCUCUCCGUAAGGACCUGCUCUUUGGAUGACCGCCCGGGAAAACAGUGCAACCAUGAGGGUGGAAUGGGGUGCCCUUAGCUGAAUAAUUAGAGGAUCCGGGGUGUAGUUCGCUUAGCCGUCGUGCCGUCAAUGGGGCUCGGUGUAUGUGGCUCGCUCUGCCAAGUUUGGGUUCGCCCCUUGGGGAGGAGUGCGGUGCAUUUAGGAAACCUAACGGGCGGCUACAGCCCCGGGGAAUCUUUGUAAAGGCUACAUAGUGAUGCCCUGCUGGGUCACCUUGGUAGUGACCAAUGGAGAGUCAUGAUCUCCGGGCAGAAAGGGAAUCACUGCUUGUGGGUAAAGUGCACAACCUCUGCAGAGUGUAUGAAAACUGAUAUAUCAGCCGUGCUCGCGGUUAUGAGCGGCCAAGGGAGCUCCAGUGAUUAGUGGUACUUGAUCAGAGAUGUUCGGAUUUGCAGAUGGCAAUGAGAUGGAUGGAUUCUUGGUAUUGACUCUGGUAAUGGUAAGUGGUACUCUUUCCGUUUGGAAAGGAGUACGUUUGGGUUGAUAACGUGGGUUAAUUCUAAAACUUGGCUUUCUCUACUAGUAAUAAUAAUCUGACCUACUAAAAGCAACUGCUUGACUUAUCCCCCACAUAAAGCUAGUCCACUACAACCAGACAGGACACUUGCUGAGUAUGUUGAUGUGUACUCACCCUUGCUCUACACACCAACCCCCCAUCCCCAGGUUGUCAGCAUUGCAACCACUGCUCAGGAGAAGAUGAAGUCGUGGAAGGAGACUUCCAGGAGUUCCAAGACUACGACGAGUUCUAGGCGUGGGUUAGCGGCAACCCCCAGUCGGCUGCCUAUGAAGGCCGCGUUUAUCUACGUUUCUUUUCCGCACUUUGAUUUAUUGUAAAGACUAUGUGGAUGUCUCAGACAUAUGAUGUAAUCGACUAUUAUUCCCCUUUUUCAAUACUAUUUGAGCACUGUGUGAUGAUGUCCAUGUUAUGUAACUGCUGUGUACGUGAAUUGCUGAUCCUGGCACGUACAUGGUUCGCAUUCGGUUUGCCUUCUAAAACCGGGUGUGACAAUCAAUCACCACAUGGUCGAAACUCAAAGAUCAACUGCUCACAAGCUUUCAACGGUUUUAUACCAAGAAAAUUAAAGAUCAGGCUCUAUUUCAAUGCCCCUAAGAACUAGAAGAAUAUCUUCAAAGCUAUAUCUGAAGGUUCCUUCGAAUCAUAGCAUAAGCAUCAAGUGUACCAGAUGACAUUGUCAUUGAGGCUAUGAUCAAGGGGCUUCGGCUAGGAACAUGCUCUUGGUAUUUUGCUAGGAAGCCACCCCACACUUUGGAGGAUCUACUCUACAAAAUGAAUGAAUAUAUCAGAGUAGACAAUGAUUGUCAACAGCGCCGACAUUAUUUAUUUUACAUUUUAAAGCAUGAUUAACCUUAUGUGAUCUAAUGGCCCCAUCGUACAUUGGGCUAGCCCAUGACCCAAAUAUGUUGUCGUAUAGGAUGCUUAGGCUAGCAUGAUGGCCCAUGCAUUGGCUUUGCACGACCUAUUGACAUGGGUGGGCCUAAACGUGUUGUGCCACAGUUGGGCUAAUGGUGGCCCGGUCUGACUAUUUGGACAUGCAUAUUGUAGGAGUCCAAAAAUAAGCAUGGCCAUGGUACUUAUCUCAAUCUAGUUUUCUUAAAGUUAAUUAGAAUUGUAAGAAAUAUUAACAACAUUUGUGUCUCUAAAUAAGACUGUUAUAAAAAUAGAUUAAACUAUCUAUCUAAGGAUGCUAAUUAUAUACUAUAGAUAUUAAGAUUUCUUAUAUAUAUUUGAUCAAAGUUAAACAUGUUUGACUCAUCUAUAAGAAAAAACAACACUUGACUUUUAUGGAUGGAGUAGUAACUAAGGCCUAUGGGCUCAGACACAUGAUUCCACUGCUUGGCAAAUAUUCCCUAUGAGUUGGUCCCAAGGAUGAUUAGGAAUGUUAGAAUGGGCUAGGUUGAUCUCCAUUUUGAUAGUGUUUGGAUGGAGGUGACUUGUUUCAAGGGGAAUAUACCCCUUAGAUUUGUAGUAGCUUCAUCCAUAAAAUUUAGGGGAUGAACUCAUCCCAAAUCCAUGUUGUGAUGCUUCAUCGACUAAGCAUGGGUCCUCGGCUUCACACGCUAGUGCGACACGGGGCUUAGGGCGGCUGUAGAGACAUGGAUCUUCAAGCUCUUUGCAACACAUGGGCGGCCAACCUUGUGGCGGAUGGGAAGUGCUAGUCUCUAGGUAGCGUAGGGUUGGCCGUCUAUGGUGCUUAAGACUGUCUUCAACGGCCCACUCUAAAUUCCACACCUAUAUCCUAUAUCUCACUUUCAUGACACGUCAGCAAUCUCUCUUGCCCUAUAUCUCAUCUUCGUGCAGCGGUUGCCUCUAUAUCACCCUCUAAAAUCCUUCAUAUCAAUAAAGUAUACAUUUCUUUUUAACUACCACAACUACCAAUCAUAUUUUUCCAUUUUUCCUUUCUCACACUGGUAUUUACUCUACCAUAAGUAAAACUGUUGUAAAUCGAAUUUAAUGAUUACUAUACUUUUUCACGCAUCUUUCAUGGUGAUGUGCAGCAUGACCGCGGCGUGAAGCUGGUUGUUGUUUCGCCGGCAUCAGAGCGUGUCCCGCGCGUGGGGCUCACCCACAUGUAUCGUCGUCCUGCUCCGGCGACGAAGAAGCUCCGGCUGGGGAAUGCUCUCGCGGAUCUAGCAAAUGGAACGACACCGAAGAAGCUUCGACCUGAGAGGAUGUCUCCAACAAUGGUGGUGGCUUCGGCAGAUCCGGUAAGACAGUUGCCUCGUGGACGUCAUCGCGCUCCGGGACGGAGGCCGCGGCUUCGGUUCGACCGACGAACCAUCGUCAAUGUCCUCCUCUAGCAGCUUCUCCUCUGGCCUUGCUCUUUUCAGUCGACGGUCCGUACGAGGGAGAGCUCGAGUGGGUGCAACGGGUGGCGACGUGUAGGCAGGGGCGAAGCCAGGAUUCGAAGACAGAGGGGGCAGACUUAGCCUCCAAGCGACCAAACCAGUAAAGACACAGUAUAAAAAUGGCAAGGGAACCAACCACAAUGUAUAUAUUGAUAUAUAAUCUUCAUUAAAAACAGUAUAAUGAAACAACAUCUAUUUUGUCAAACAAAAUAAAAUUACAUCUCAGUUAUUUUAAAUUUAGCUCUACGUGUAUUAGCUAGAUCAUAGGCCUUGAUAAUAUCAUCAGAACAAAUCAUUGCCACUAAUUCCCUUUUAAUAUAAACGAUCAGAUAAUCACGUAAAUAGGCAUAUCUCAUUUUUCUUCGAAGACGUGUCUUCACAAAUUUCAUAGCUGAAAAGGCUCUCUCUUUGGUCGCAGUUGACACAAGGAGAGUUAAAAGUAAUCUCAAUAAUUUAUCGGAUAAGAAGAAUCUUUACCCAGCUUAGCUAAUCCACUUGGUUGGGCCAAAAAUUAAGGGUUUCAGACUACCAAAUAAUAAACUGACAACAAGAUAAUGGGCUAUAGGAUACAUUAUUAAUCUGACUUGGUUGAGCCAUUGGGGGUGCCAAGCCCACUCCGGCCCCCCUGGUGGCUUCGCCACUGCGUGUAGGGGCACUCUACAUAUAGUGGGAGAGAGAAGAAUCCCACCGGGUAGAGGUAGGCGAAGGGGCGAGCGUUGUAGCGUUUGGAGUGAUUCUGUAGCCACUAUACAUGCACAAUAUUAUGGGAGGGAGACGCCAACAACAACUAUUGAAGAGAGUCUAAGGUGCGUGAGUGGGCAGUAGUGGUGCAUGGUGCAUAUAGGAUCUUGCCAAUGAAUAGAGUCAAAUAAAAGGUUGAAAUCAUCACAUGAGAAGCUAAACAGCCUUUUGCCCUGAUUAGUGGCAAACGUAGGCCAAUAACAUAGGAAGGACUCACUCACCUCUUUCCUAUUCCUCUUUUUAUUUUUCUUUAUCCUUCCUUUGUUCUUCUUUUUACUUCACCUUUGUCCAACUUAUUCCAAAACUUAUAGACACUGCGCUAACAAUUAUGGUAAGAUCCUAACAGAUAAGGCAAGAUCUUAGCAGAUAAGAUAAGAUCCUAGCAGAUAAGAAAGACACACUUGUAAUCAUAGAGUGGGUUCCAUGUACAACUAGGUUAUCGACUCGGUACCAUCAUGGACCAGAUAACCAACUCGAUAUCCACCAUGUAACCGCCUCCUCCUUGCUCUACAAAAGGAGGGCAGGGGCGCCCCUAUGGGCAUUAGAUCAUCAUAUCAUAAGCAAUAGCCACCAACACACUGGACAUAGGGUAUUAUCUCGCCUUGAUAGCCCAAACCUGUCAAAAUCUUCGAGUCUUCUAUGCAUUUACCUUUAGUUUUCGAUCUCGUGAUCUACCCCAUAAAUCCACUAUCUAAUAUUCCUUAACAAUUAAUAACACAAUUCGCAUGUGUAGUACUACAUAAAAUUAAUCUCUUGUAUUUAAAGCUCCCCCUGCAUUGACGCUCCCUCCGCGCUCGAUAGGCAUUUGGCCUUCGCUCCUGUCGAGGCAUGGAGAAUGGGGUAGACACAAAACUAGCCACUCUUUCUAGCAUUAGAAUUGUUCUUGUAAAACUUAGUGAUUGAUAUUGAAAAGAUAAGAUUGUCACCACAUGUAGGUUAACACAAUAAAAAGGGACCAUUUGGAUAUUUUUCAUUUGAGAGGAAUUAAAAUAUAUUUAAUGCACUCGAUUAUUUGACUCAAAAUAUGAUAUUCCAUAAACCUUCGACUAGCUCUCCUAGAAUAGAAAUGCAUCACAUAAAUGGUUUAAUAAUUUAUGACUAGAUUAUAGUUAUAGAAAAAUAAUCCCAAGGAUUCAAACUUAAAUGAUAUUGUCAAAAUUUUAAAAUAACUAGUACAACUGAGUCAUUCGGGCAAGCAACCAACACACGACCAUGCAAACUCAGGAAACUGGGUCUAUCAAAGGCUAAUUUUGCUCUCACUCACUCAAUUGAAACACAAGGUUCCCACAAACAUUGCAUUGGGACCUUGCCCGGCUGCUACAAUCACGCUAGGCCGCAUGCGCCAUGGAUGGUCCAAAGGUUCCCUGUCUUUAAUAACUCGCCUUUGCCAUCAUAUAUAAACCUGGCCUUGACACCCCUGUCCCCACCACACCACAACAAGCACAGAGACACCAAGCGUUGAACUCGCCUAAGCAGCUACCAACCAACCCUAGAAAGCUAGACACCGUACCCAUGGCUCGCGCUAGCGUCGUCUUUGUCAUUGCUGCUCUCCUCUUCGUCGCCAUGGUCGUAGCACCGAUGGCCGAGGCAAAGUCUGCCGAUGCCCCUGUGGCUGACGCGCCGGCCGAUGGACCUAGCGGGCCGGCUGCUGCACCUGGCCCCCAGGGUGUCGAAGGCCUGUCAGGCAAUGAGGAUGACGAUGAUGACUCCACCAACUGAGGCCACACAUGUCGGCCCGGUUAAAUUUGGAACAAGACAUGGAAGAAAAAUGAGAGCAAUGUCUUUAAAACCAUGAAUCCAUAAUAAUGUGUGGUCAUCCAUGGAUACAUCCUUGCUCUCCCUCUUUUUCUUUCUGUUUGAUUUUCAAUGUGUUAUCAUGUUGUUAGUUAACUGUAUCGACUCAUGGUAUCAAGGUCUAAAAAAUUAUCGUCGUUCUUGUGUUCUUGAGCCACUGAGAUUUUGAGACAGUGAACGAUUCAUCAAUCACAACGUUGGUUUUAGUCUUCCCUGCAUCUCGUGCUGCACAAAAAAACGUCUUCUUGGCCCUUUGUUCACAAUUAUUCGAAUUCCAUUUAUAUUUUGGGGAGGGGGAGGGGGGCAUUAUCUAAGCUCUAGACCCUUUUCUGAAGCUCUAACACACAGCUUGCAAGGCCAAAAUACCAUGAACGUACUACCUAAAAAUUGCCGGUAUUUAACGUCCAUGUAAUAUCAUUUUUGUAAUAGCAUACACAAUGUUCUUAGCCAUUAUAUGCUUUAACUGACCUUACAGUGGGUAAGCCGUGACUUGAUAUAACUAACCAUAAGCAAAGUGUGAGAAGCCAUGAUUUACCAAACUUUAGCGUGCCUAAUAAAUAUUUACCGUAUUUUUAUUUUAUUUUAUAUGACACAUGGAGUGCAUCAUAAUCUACCUACCCAAAAGGCACAAGUAUGUGUGCAUCAAGCUGUUUCAAAGAAAAUAUGCUAGAUUAUCACUAAAAUAUGUGCUGUCAUUAAAAUGCGCCAAGCCAUCAUCAUAUAAGCGUUGACUUUCCAUAGAGUCUAAUACAGAAGACAAUUUUCUUUUGUUUUGCAGUCAUGUAAUAGGAAACCAUAUGAUAUUUUUUUAUAUGUUAGAGCUCUUAAAAAGGGGUUUCUCUACAUAAAUGUAAUUAACAUAAUUUUUAUAUAAACAUAAGAAUUAUAAAAGUAUGGACUCACAACACAUAUACUUUAUUUAUUUGUACCAUUUAAAUUAAACAAAAUUAAACUUGUCUGUCACGCGGAGGCAAGGCCGUUUGGCCAACCGAAUCGGUGUUUGUUAGGCUAUCUCUAGCAACUUUUAUGUCUCAUCUCUUAUCGUAUUGUAUAUUUUAAACUUCACUCUUCAAACAAUGUCAAACAAUAUUAUCUAUAGUAUCGUAUCCUUAGAUCAUAUUUCGCAAGUUUGUGUGGCUAUGUAUUGGCUGCUUGCCCGAAUGACACAGUUGUAGUGAUAGCAAAAUUCUUUUAGGCCACAUGUCGUAGAGUAAAAAGUAUAGCAAUAUUCUUUUAGUUAUGAUAGAGUGUGACUUCUAAGGCUAUGUUUGGUUUCUUUAGUCUAGGGACUAAAAUUUAGUUAGAGGACUAAACUUUAGUCCCUAACAUGUUUGGUUUUAUGGGAUAAAAAUAGUAAGAAUAUACUAUAUGACUCAUAAGAAGACUAAAAUGGCCUUUAACAUUCUCUUGCUAUUAGUACAAUUGAACUAAAUGAGGGGUAAAUGUGGAAUUAAUAUGGUUUAGUCUCUUUUAGCACAUAUGUGAAGGAUUAAAUAAAGACUAAAUCAUUUUAGUCCAUAUUUUAGUCCUAAUGUUUGGCAAAAAAAGACUAAAUAAGACUAAAAACUAGAGACUAAUCUUUAGUUCCUCUAACCAAACCCCCCUAAAUUAAGGAUAUAUUUCGUUGCUAGCCACACUUUAUCACACUUUACCUUAGCCAGUGUUGACUAAUUUAGAAGUUUGUUUGACGAUUAAAGUUGGGCAAGAAUUUUUAGGCUGAUGCAUGACUUUAUGUAGACAAAUUCAAUUCAUGUUUACCGUUAGUGCAACGACUGUAUAUUCAUAUAAUAUAUUUUGGUAUAGAUUGGGCAUUCCAGGCCUCAUAAAUUUAUUUGACAUGCAUAUUCGUAUAUUUAUUUAACGUAGACAAUGCAAUUUCGAUGAUAUGCACAGCCGCUGUUUGUAUUAAUCGUAGGGAACAUUUAAGAAACAUGCCUCACAUUCAUUACUCGUAUCCACUAACAAGACCAUAUACCGGUUGAUUGGUUCUGUAUCAGGUGAGCAUGGCACGUGAGAAACGCAGUUUUUCGGCGUAUCUAUUCAUGCAACAAGGAUAUUUGUUUUUGGCCUACGUUGCAUCUGUGACUGUGAGUGCAGUCUCAAUCUCUCUCUAUGCGGUUAACCAAACAACGACUGCUCCUUAGUCAACGCACACGCUCAACCCGUAUAGAUAUGCACAUGUUACCAAUCAUGAGGAUAGUAAUAGAACACGUUGCAUACAAGUAAAUGAGUUGCGCUUAGGCUAUCCGCAACCGGUACCCCUAAAUUUUUCCCCCUAUAUCACCUUUUCCCCCUAUUUUUUCAUCUCCCGCAGUGGUUCUCCCUAAAUACUCUCCCUAUACCCCACUACAACUAUAAAAUAUCAUUUUCUAUAUCAACUAACAAUUUUUUAUUUACUAACAAUUACUCGUGGAUCCACAGCACAGUGUUUAGGGGAUUAACAGUGACACGCUAGAUCUAGGAGGAGAGAGAAGGAGGCCAGCGUGUAGGAGGCGUUGUAGGGGGCACCGCUGCGGCCGUAGAGUGCCCCCUACAGGCCACAUGCAAGAGAAGGGGGCUGCGUAGUGGCUGCCGUUGCAGUUAGUCUUAUACGACUUGUACCGUGAUGACCAAGCCCAACGCCAGCAAGGCCGAAUUCGUGCGCGUCGUGGGCUCGUGGCCAUGUUGCAUGCGGGCUAUGUGUUCUGUUAUUUGCAUUUUCCUUUUCAUUUUUUUAUGAGAUUUUAUUUUCCUUCUUUCUUUUUUUCCUUUUUAUUUUCGGACUAUUUCUGUUUGUUCAUUAGUUGGUCGUUGCACCAUCCGUUUCCUAUGCUGUAUUUCUAGGUAAGGAUACAUAAAAAAUAUACCUGUAUCAGUAUCAUGCAACUAUUUGGAUAAUAAUCAGUUGCAUGGAUGACGGACUUUUUUUUUUGCCUAUUACCAGGUUAAGAAUAACAAAUUUAUGACGUCAUGUAUUUCCGUAUUUGUAUGCAUAAUUUAAUAUUCCAUUCGUCCUAAAAUAUAAUUCGUUUCAGAUUAAGCCUAUCUUUAUUCAGUAAGGCAGUAACCUAUAAAUAUAAUUUGUAUGUAUAUAUAUAUUUAUUAUCAUCUAUAUGAAUGUGGAUGGAAAAAAUGAGAGCUAUAAAAAGCUAUAUUUUAGGACCGAAAGAGUACAUCUUUUAUUUAAUGUUUCUCUUUGAGCUUUCCUGGAACCCACUCUUUGGAAAUUAUGGUGUAUACGACUAAGCUUAUUCGAUUUGGUUAAAUCUAUAUCGAUAUUUGUAGUAUUUUGGAUCUUUUAGCCAUGGCGCCGUUGCAGGUUAUCAUGGCGUGGAAUUUGACAUUAAGAAACUAUUUUUGAUUUAGUUUAUUAUAAAGUUAGUCAGAGAUACCUUUAGAUUAUGCAAACUGACUUGAUGCUUCAGAAUAGAUGAUCUGUUUAUUUUUAUUUGGAGUAUGUAGUUGGACUCUGUUACAUGUGCCCAAACAUAUAAUUAUUUUUUAUGAGCUUAAUUUAAUUGGUUUUAACUUUGCUAGCAUGACUGAAUAUACGCACCGCUUCUCUUUUGGGGCACAAUUUCAUUUGAUCAUACAAUUAUUUGUUUAAUUUGAUAGUAGCCAAGACAUAUGUAUCUUUCUUUUUUUUAGCAUGCAAGACGGUGUGCCCCCAUUUUCAAAAGGAAUUUGAAGAGCCUGAACUGCCUGGCUUAAAGCAUCUCCAACCAUAAGUUCUAAACAAGAGUCCUAAAACUUGAAAAAGAACCCGGUUUAAAAUGUUUAAGGCUCAAUUAACUUUUUUAACUCCAACGGUGGACCCUAUAAUAAAGUGUUUUUUUGGUUUUUAUCCUUACCUGUCAAAGUAUUGGAGUCAUUUUUUCUGUUUUAACUCCAAAAGCAGUUUCAUCGGUUGGAAUAGAGGGAAAUAAAAAGAUAGAGCCCGAAUUGAUGGGUACUAUAUAUGGCAGCCACUAUAUAUAGGACCCCAACCAGGCAACCAUCGAGUCCUUAAUCUAGUUGAUAAAAAAUUAGUAAAUUAGGACUCCUAUUGGAGACAAUUUUUAUAACUUGAGCCCAAUAUUUAAAUUUAGGACUCAGUUUGAGACUUCUGUUGGAGAUGCUCCGGCUAAAACAUAUGCAGAUUUGUUUCGAUAUAAAACCAAUUUGUGUUCAUAUCUAUUUUACCAUGAACACCCAAAUUUCACUUAGGCACAUUUCUCCUUUUUACAAUUUUACGGUGGCUCAUGAUAAUUGAAGUUGUUUAGCCACCACGAUGUAUAUUUUGAUUAGGCCAAAUCUUAUUUUGAUUAGGCCAAAUCUGUGUCAACGACCCUCACUCCCUCGGUUGAAACCCAAGUCUCGCACACUUUGCAUUGGGGCUUUGUCUGACUGCUACAAUCACGCUAGGCCGCAUACGCCAUGGACGGCCAAAGGUUCCCUACCUAUAAUAGCCCGCCUCCACCACCAUAUAAACUUGGCCUCACCACCCUCGUCCCUCACCGCACCACAACAAGCAUAGAGACACCAAGCGUCAAACUUGCCAAGCAGCUAGCAACCAACCCAAGAAAGCUAGACACCAUACCCAUGGCUCGCGCUAGCGUCGUCUUCGUCAUUGCUACUCUCCUCUUCGUCGCCAUGGUUGUGGCACCGAUGGCCGAGGCAAAGUCCGCUGAUGCCCCCUCCGCCGACGCCCCCGCCCCCGCUGCUGACGCACCUGCCGAUGGACCUAGCGGACCGGCGGGUGCACCUGGUCCCCAGGGCGUCGAGGGUCUAUCGGGCAAUGAGGACGACGAUGAUGACUCCACCAACUAAGGCCAAGCACGUCGGUCCGGUUGCAUUUGGAACAAGACAUGGAAGAAAAGUGAGAGCAAUGUCGUUUAAAACCAAA